GCCGUCGAAUCAAACCGACAUUGAUCGUGUGGUUUUCCUUGAAGUAUUAGGUCGGUGGAGCAUGAUCCCCGAACUUCACCCUGAUUGGUCCAGGGGGAGGGCGGGCGCCCUCAGGACUAGGGCGGGCGCCCUGUCCCUGAGGCCUCUCGGCUUCCGCUUCGGUCCCGUGGCUUCUGGAGUCUUCUAGAUGAUAGAAAAUUGCGCGGCACGUUAAUAUCUCUAUGUAAACCCGACGUGUGGGCCUUUCUUCCAUAUUUCCUGAUAACCCCCUGCAGAAAUAGACAAACACCAAAACUCGUGGAAUUCUGUCAGAUAAAACCCUAAGGCUAGGUGUUGAUUGUAUUUGGAUCCUUUUCUAUGAUUAGUUGAUAGUUAAAUGUGAGCAUUAAUGACCGUCAACAAGCUUCCCCAAGCUUAACCUUUGCUCGUCCCUGAGCAAAGAUGAACUCAAGAGUUUCUGCAGUGGUUUCAUAACUUAAAGAUACACAUGCGUUUAAACAAGAUCUCAUCUCUGGUUAGAGUAAACUGUUAAGACUUAAAACUUACUCAUUUACCUUUUACCAUGGGACUUGUAACCGUCACUUCUGUCUUGAGUAGUUAAAAGAUAGAACAGUCUAGUCAAGCGCCAUGUCUCUUGUUCUUCGAUUAACUAUAGCUCUAGAGUUUUUGCAGAUUUUCAAAUAAAACUUAGAGAUUCCUUGUAUGACUCUCUCUAGUCUCUCAUUUGUGGUAUUUUUGGAUCCUUACCAAAGCAGUAAUGGUGUAUGCCUUCUCUCAAAGUAUGUGGUAUUUUUGGUAUGAGGCAUAGUGACAUUGCCUUCUCUCUCACCCUACUCUAAUAAGGCUUUUAAUAUCUGGAGCUCAUAGGUGGGAGACAGCUAAUACAUACUUACAAGACAUUUAUUGUAUAGUCAAACCAUGGAUCCAGAAGAACAAGUCAAUAAGUCAAAUCAAGAUGUGCAUGUGUGGCGAAUGAAUGGUGUAUGGUGAUGAUGGUGAUAACAAUGGUGAAAGUCUAAUUCUACUUAUGCUCUUUUGAGGGGAUACAUACCUUUCUUGCACUUUUGAAACUUUUUCAGGAGAAUGAGAUGCUCUAUGUUUUCUUUUUCUUUUCUGUCAGGUGGGUAUCUUGUACCCCUAAUUCUACUAUCGGACACUUGUCCAUUUUUACCUCUCGUCUCACUUUUUCUUUUCUUCGAGGUUCCGGGCACUUGCCCCUUUUUAUUUCCUCGUAUAUAUUUUUUUCUCUUUUUUUUAGAGCACUCAUCUCAUGAGAUAAUAUAGCAAGUGGUAGUAACAAGAUAACUUGAGCAUUUAUUUCAUAGGGGAAAAACAGGAAUAUUUUUAGCUAUUCUCUCCCGGAUUAGGAGUAGAAUAUUUUUGUGUGGUUCUGGAGAUGGAAAUGGAUAUAUAUGGAUGGUACUUCCGGAGUAGAAGUAGCAUGUAUGAGUGAACGUGCAAGUGAAUCUUGAUUUAACCACAUGACAAGCUCCUAAGGGUCUACAAAGCUUGACCACACUCAAUGCUCAUAAGCAGUAAAAAGUAAAUGUGUGGCUCAAAGUCUAGCAAGCAUGUAUAUAUGGAUGUGGUAGGAAUUUAAACUCUUAUCAUACAGGAACUCAUCAUGCAACAAUUUAAAGAUUUUCAAAGAUAAAAUUCUCCAGAAUUCUAGCAUCUCUAGGAACAGAUAAACAGCAGCUCAACCUUCCCAUAUCGUAUCCGUUAACGACUUAGACUUUAGAUCAAGUACUCUCCUCACAAGUUCAGGUUUAGAUCAAAUCUUAAUUAAUAACAGUCAUGCCUAAACUUGAGAGAGAUUUCAAUUUUUAGAACUAGUCAUGGCAGAGCAACUAUACAUCAUUUCCAUGUGAGAGCUUAUCAUGAGGAUUCAUAGCAAACUUUAUUUAUUUAUUUAUUUAGCAAACUAACCAAAUAUAUAUAUAAGCACAAAAUCUUUAUUUGGGUUUAUAUGAUUAUGCAUCUUUUUACUAUUUAGAGUAAAGUAUAAACGUGAGUAGAAACACUUAGCUGGAUAAAUGGGGGUGCUCUCCCCCAAGCUGGAUUUUGACGUAAUUCCUUCUGAUGUAGCUGGUGGCAGAGGUGUAGUUGAAUGUCGGCAGCACCCUGACAGUGAUUAGGAUGUCCUCCAUCUGCUAGUCUUCUUUGAUCCUUGAAUUCUGUGGAGCUCAAAUAGACAACAAAGCUUUGUGGAACUGGUUAAGUGUUAACAUAAAUAUCUAGCCUUUAUCAUGUUGAGCCUCCUCAAUAAAUGUUAUUCUCUUUAGUAGGAUCACAAUCUUAUUUAUAUUUUCAUUUUUAUAGGACAGGAAUAUAUAUUUAUUUUAUUUUUAUGCCACCACAGUGAAUGUACUUAUGGGUUUUAUGCCAUGAGCAUACUCACAUGGGGCUUACUUAACAUUUUUAUUUUCUUUUCAAGAUGAUAUGAACCUGAUUAACUAACCAAACUAUUUUAAAUAAUUAAAAGGAAAAAGAUAACUACCAAGUUUACCUUUUGGCAAGGCGUUCGGUGUUUUUACGUCCUCCGAACGGGACUCUCCGUUUUCUUAGUCGUCCUGGGAUUCGCUGGAUGGCGUAGUCGGUGGUUCCGGCGGUGCCUGCUCUUCGUGUAUAACUAUCUUCUCUCUCCACACCUGCCUCGGUGCUACGGUCUCCUCAGGACAGUUCUAUUCAAGUUGUAUAUCUUCAGACCUUACAACUUCUCCUUCAUAGUCUACCCAUCCGUCCUUGAUGAUUUGCCUCCUCUGGUUGCGGUUGCGUCGUCUUCUUCUUGUCCUGACCUGCUUAGAGUCUUGAACUAUAUAGUUAGAGUCAGUAAAAUAGCAGCGUACCUUCUCAGAGGAGAAAUGCAUGUGGACUUCUCUGGUUCCAAUGUAGAUGAUUGCUUUAACGGUGUUGAGGAACAGUCUCCCAAGGAUGACGGGUGGAUUGUACUCAUCUUCUCCCAUGACAUUAACCUUAAAAUCAUCUGGAGCUGAAUGUAUGUUAGUUGUAGGGGCAUGGUUCCAUGCAGGAGUUGAUAAGUGACUGCUGCCAUUAUGUUGAUGUUAGAUCCGGUGUCGUAGAGUGUCUUCUGAAAAGAAUAUCCGUUGAUUGUGCACUCGAUGCUUGGAACACCAGGGUCGUCCUUCUUGAUCAAGAAAGGUGACUUGAGUUGACGAUCUUGACCUCCUUGAGCUGCAGUGACCAUCUUAGCUGACUCGGUACACAUUUGCUUGUUCCUAUUCCUCCUGUUGGUCCUCUUCCUUGGUUCAUGUCGGGAUUGCUCUGAGAUUUGUAUAGUCUUGUUCUUGAAGGAAAACAUCUCCUUCCUUCCCUUGAUGUAGAAACUGAUCUUGGCAGCACUAGCGUAGAUGAUAGCUCCCGAGGUGUUCAGGAAUGGCCUCCCUAGAAUGAUGGGUGCCCUCUCAUCACUACCAGUCUCUAUCACCACGAAGUUUGCUGGAGCGUAUAAGGUACCAACUCGGAUGUAGAGGUUCUUCAAUAUUCUCUUUGGGAAACUAAGCGUACGAUCUGCAAGCUGCAAACACAUGGCUGUUGCUAAUAAAGGAUGUGUAAAGAAUUUUUCAUAGAGUACCCGGAGCAUAAUGUUGACGCUGGAGCCAAAGUUGCAGAGUGCUUCUAGGAAGUCCACCAUGCCGAUGGAGAUCGGGAUGACGGGACGUCCUGGAUUGUUUUUCUUGACCGGCAGAAGGUCAGUAAUUACUUCCACAACAGGGUUACUCCAGUAGUUAUGUCCUCAAGCAUCUCAGGGCAGUGAUUGCCUGAGUGUCCAGUAUCUCCAGUGUGUUUGUGCUCGUAGAUCUAGGUUCUUCACUUGUUGGAGUCUGGGAGUUAUAAAAGUCCUUCAUAUUUUGCUCGAAGUGUACCUGCUCAUAGAGACAAGGCAGAGAUCAAGUGCAUGGGCCCUGUUGGUGGAAAACACCAACAGAACCAAAAGUGUAUUUGCUCUUCUCUAUCCUUAAGCAUAGUGAGCAAGACACAGUUGAUGGAUAAUAAGAUCAUGAGUGUAGCAUUUAAAACAUUCGUCAGAUCAGAUCACUCAACCUAAUGGAAAGAUAAUCUAUCUAUACUUAUGUUUUGUUUAUAUCUUCCAGAGAUUGAAUGUGCAACAUUUUAGUUCAUAUGAUUAGGAGUGUGGGAUCACAAAGGUGGAAGGACUAAACAUGUUGAAUCGAUUGGGUUGGUUAAUCUAGAGUUGCAAAUCAUACAUGUUUGUCUCUUUUAUUCAUGUGAACGCCAGAACCAAGGAGAAGCUUAUAAAAGUGAUAAUCAAGUACCUUAAGAUGUUACCUUUCUUAAAGAGUGAUGGUACAGUAUUACCUUGUGGAAGCUUUCCUUUCUUAGCGGUUGUGCAUCAUGUUUGUGGCACCCUCCAUAGACCAUCUCUUGUGCGCAUGCCUUCCUUGUGUAAAUUGUUAAACUUCAUGUGCCUCUCUCUUUGUCUCCAAUGUGAGUUUAUCUCAGGACUUCCCAGGUUGAUAUGAAAGUUUUCCUGCAGGGGUUAGUCCAACAAAAUAUACCAAUGUCUACACAAGCAGUUUUUAGUUCAAUAACCAAACUAGACUCCAUGUCUAAUUAGAUUAAGGAAGGCUGUUUAACCUAAGCACCAUGCUUAAUUUAAAAACCAAUAGAAGUAUGUACACUACUUCCAAACUAACACUUACUAGGAUAAACAAAGGUAGCGUGAUGGCUUUUAUAGAGAUCUACUCAAGUGGAGAUGAAGUAGUGUGAUUACUAUUUAACAAAUUGAGCAUGUCUCAAAGGUAGGGACAACCAACAUAGCAACAUGGCAAAUGAUGUUUUUAUGUGAAGUACUCCCCGAAGCUUGAAUUUUGCAGAAUUCAAGUUUGGAUGAAUUUAAUUCAAUGUUGUAUGAUGAUUGGUUGUACAUACCUUGUGCUUGUCAUUCAUCCGAUCUUCUUGCUCCAAUCCUAAAAAGGUUAGUGACAAGAAUACCCGAAGGAAUAUUUUUACAAUUAUCCUAAUAUGCUCAACACACAAGGUAAUGUUGCAAAUAAUUAAAAGCUCAUGUUAUGAUCUGAUCAGUGUUUGUUUUAGGACACUAAGCUUGUCCUUGGGAAACCAUCAAUUUAUGUCAGUGAAGUGGUUUCCCCUCCAACGCUGACCUAUAUCAAGAUCAACUAAACGAGAUCUGCAAAAUUUAUUAUAGACAUAUGCAUCGACAACUGCAAUUUUAAAGUUUUUAUAAAUAGAAAGGAUGAGGGGGUUGGAGAUCUUGAAUGUGGUGAUGUUGGAAAAACCAAUGGAUUGUGAAGAUGUUGCAUAUGAGCAUGGAGUAAAUGAAGUGGCUAUGAAAUAAAUUCCAUGCUCAUUAAUGCUUAGAGUGAAAUCCAUGUGGUAUGGUGAAAAUGAUAUGGUGAGUGUGGUAAAAAAGGAAAAUAAAAAGGAUACACGGACGACUUGGUUCGAAACUAGCACAGCUACCGCUCCCCAGCAACGGCGCCAGAAAGCUUGUUGGGUAUUUUAAACGCAAAUAGAAAAAUCCGCAAGCGCACGGAUACCGAUGUAGCUUUCACCUGGGAGUAUUCCAGAGUAUCGAUUUUCCAUAGAGAACGUGAGUGUACUAAUUAAGAUCCAAGAUCGCCCAAGGAUAACUAUAUAAUUAUUUUUGGUGGGAAGAGAGGAAGUUUCCUGAGAGUUCUCUAGUUGAUCUAAGAAUCAAGAAUUACUUCAAGAUUAUCUAUAUCCGGACGUCAGAGCACUAACCACAGAAAGAGAUGAGAAGGGGGCUAGGAAGGUCUGACUACGGUCCUACAAACACCGAUCCGAACGUGGUGGAAUACGUCGACCGUUAGGGCUGUCACUACCCUAAGGCUACCACAACAAUCCGCAGGAUUGGGUGCAAUUCCAGGUAAUCGCAAGACUAAACACCACGUCUAAUCUAUUAAUUACUACUCUAGCGUUAUAAAGACUAGAGCACUUGAUGCAAGCGAGAAUCCAAUAAAUAACUUGAAUGUAAAUAAAAGUAAUUAAAGAACUCAGGAAUUAUGAGUUGAAGAACCUGGAGAACGAUGAAGAACGAACCAGUUGCUGCAAAAGUACAAUGUUGAGGAAGAUCCGACAGAUCCGGCUCCUCCUUCUCUGCUCUCCUCUUCUCUCUCCCUAUUUUCUAGAUUACAACUAGAACUAACUAGAACUUGAACUAGAGGAACUAGAACUAGAACUAGAUGAACUAGAACUAGAACUAGAUGAACUAGAGGUAGAACUAGAAGAACUAGAGAGAUCCUCUCUACUUGGAUGAAGAAUUGAAACCCUAACUUUGAUCCUGUAGAAGAGGUAUGAUCUCCAGGGGCCAAGGGGGUCUGGUUUUAUAGUCCCUUCAAGUGAAUCUGGGCCGUUGGAUCAAACCGACAUUGAUCGUGUGGUUUUCCUUGAAGUAUUAGGUCGUUGGAGCAUGAUCCCCGAACGUCACCCUGAUUGGUCCAGGGGGGAGGGCGGGCGCCCUCAGGACUAGGGCGGGUGCCCUGUCCCUGAGGCCUCUCGGCUUCCGCUUCGGUCCCGUGGCUUCUAGAGUCUUCUAGAUGAUAGAAAAUUACGCGGCACGUUAAUAUCUCUAUGUAAACCCGACGUGUGGGCCUUUCUUCUUUAUUUCCUGAUAACCCCCUGCAGAAAUAGACAAACACCAAAUCUCGUGGAAUUCUGUCAGAUAAAACCCUAAGUCUAGGUGUUGAUUGUAUUUGGAUCCUUUUCUAUGAUUAGUUGAUAGUUAAAUGUGAGCAUUAAGGACCGUCAACAGAGUGCUCGGCGACUUCCCUCGGUAUGCCCGGCAUGUCUGAGGGACUCCAUGCGAACAUGUCGGCAUUUGCACGAAGAAAGUCGACGAGCACGGCUUCCUAUUUGGGAUUGAGGUCGGCGCUGAUCGUCAGCACCUUGCCGUCGGAGUUGUUGGGGUCGAGCGGGAUCUUCUUGGUUCCUUCCGCCGGCUCGAAGCUGCCCGCGUGGCGCUUGGGCUCUGGAGCCUCAGCGGCCAGGGCUUCGAGCUUUGCGGCGAGCUCGGUGGAACUCUCGACUGCCUCCGCAUACUCGACGCAUUCGACGUCAUACUCAUAUGCGUGCUCGAAGGAGGAGCUGACGGUGAUGACGCCCUUGGGGCCGGGCAUCUUCAGCUUCAGGUAGGUGUAGUUGGGGACAGAGAUGAAUUUGGCAUAACCCGGUCAUCCGAUGAUGGCGUGGUACGUGCCCCGGAACCCCACCACCUCAAAUGUGAGGGUCUCUUUUCUGAAGUUGGCCGUCGUGCCAAAACAGACUGGUAGAUCGAUUCGACCAACCGGCAGCGCCUUUUUUCCUGGUACGACGCCAUGGAAGCCGCCGGCGCUUGGUUGGAGCCGCCCCCUGUCGAUGGCUAGGAGGUCGAGGGUCUCGAGGUAGAUGAUGUUGAGGCUGCUGCCGCCAUCCAUCAGCACCUUUGAGAGCCGGGUGUUGAUGAUGAUGGGGUCGACAACAAGCGGGUAGACGCCAGGGGUGACUACUUUGUCGGGGUGGUCCUCUCGAUUGAAGGUGAUGGGGGUGCUCGACCAGCUGAGAUAGUGGGGCACUGCCAUCCUUGCCGCGAAAACCUCACGACGCUCCCUCUUGCGCUGUCUUUUGGUCAACUGCAUCGAGGGUCCACCGUAGAUCAUGAAGCAGUCGUGGACGGCAGGGGAACCGUCGUCGACCUUGUUGUCCUCCUUAUCACCGCCCUUCUCCUUCUUUAGGUCGUCGCGCACGUCGUUCUUGAACCCCAGACAGUCGAAAUGCUUUUUCAGCAUACGGCAGUCUUUGAGCUUGUGGUUGGCUCCUCCCUUAUGGUAAGGGCACAACUCCUCCAGCAUCUUAUCGAAGAUACCCACCUCCAGAGGGCCUCGAGGCCUUUUGCGUUCCAUGGCGGCGACGAGACAAUCGUCGAGGUCUUCUCGUUGGAAUGGUCGUGCCUUCUUCUUCUUCUUGUUUUUCUUGGGCCCUUGACCCUCGUCAUCGUCGGCGGGCAGCUUGCCCUUCCUUCCUUCACAGCUGAAGAAGGCGCUGACUGCUUCUUCUCCUGCCGCGUAGUUGGCUACCACAUCCAUCAGUUCGUCGACGGUCUGAGGGCGAUUCCGGCCUAAUUCCCGUACCAAGUCUCGACUGGUGGUACCAGAGACAAAGGCCAGGAUGACGUCGUGAUCGGGGAUGUGCGGCAGCUCGGUGCGUUGCUUUGAGAAGCGUCGAGCGUAUUCUCGAAGAGUUUCUCCUGACUUCUGCUUGCACGUGCUGAGGUCCCACGUGUUCCCGGGCCGUAUGUAAGUUCCUUUGAAAUUACCCUCGAAAACUCUAACCAGAUCGACCCAGUCGUGGAUCUGAUCGGCUGGAAGCUCUUCGAGCCACCUGCGGGCGGUGUCGGAGAGGAAGAGCGGCAGCUGCCUUAUGAUAGCUCGAUCAUCUCCUUGAGCACCUCCCAGCUGACAGGCCAGCCUGAAGUCUGCCAGCCACAGCUCCAGUUUGGUCUCUCCGUUGUACUUCGCGAUGCUGGUCGGGGGUCGGAACAGGCUGGGCAGCGGCAUGCUACGGAUUGCCCUGCUGAAUACCCGUGGGCCUGGAGGUUCUGGAGCCAUCCGGUCCUCAUCGCUAUCGUACCUCCCGCCGCGAUGGGCGUUGUAUCCGCGCUCUUCCGCAUCCCCGUACCGACGGCGUCGAUUCUCUUCAAUGUCGCGUCGCGCAUCGUGUCGACGCUGAUUGUCGACGGGGAGAAUGAGCGUGGUCUUUCUCCCUCGAGGGGGUGGCUGCUGAUGGACUGACGCCUCCUUUUUGUUUUGAGCUGGCUCAUCGCGCUUUUCAGUGGCAGCUCCUCGACGUCGAGAAGCCGAGCUUUCGGCCUGUUGAACUGCCGCCACCUGGAGUAGUGUCUGCACCUCGUCUCGAAUGCGUCGAGCUUGGGAGUUUGACGGCUUCGGCAUGUUUUGCAGCAGCAUUGUCGCUGCUACGACGUUCUGGCCUGCUCGAGGGAAACGGCUGAUGGGCUGCUCUGGCUCUGCGUCUCCAACGAUCUGUCGGUGUACCUCUCGAGCUCGUCUGCGGACACUUCCGCCAGGCGGGUAAGGCAGGUCCUGCUCGAGGAUCUGCUCAAGCAGGACAAGGCGCUCGCGGUCCUCGUCAAGCUUUGCCUUGAGUUCUCGUAGCUGCGCAAUUUGCACGGCUCUGUCUUCUUGAGGAGGGGGGUCGACUUGACCAUCAUUCCUAGGAGUCCUGGGGUCUUCUCUCGCUACGGGGGCUCGCCCACCCGUAACAGCGUCUUGUGUCUCGUCGGUGGUUUCCACCGCUCCAUCGAUAUGGAAGCACUCCCUAGUAGGGUCGUGGCUGUCAGAUUCCGAGCCAGAGUCCGGCUCGGUGGUGUAGAAACAUCCACGUCCUUCCUCCAGCAGCCGCUGUCUGAGGGAGGUAAUCGUGUAGCGUCCAGGGCCUAGGCGGCGGAGGCCUCGUACCUGGGAGAAAUCCGGUAGCUCGGACGUCGGUUGCUGUGCUUCAGGGUCGCGUGGGAGGACCAUUGGUCUCUCCACAUACGUCUGGGCGUUUGGGCAUAUCGCCCUGGCGAGUGACGCUGCGACAUUGUCCAGGCUGAACGGUAAGGCUCCUCUUGAGGCGAACAGCCCAUGUGGAAGUAGCCUGGCGGUGGGGGAGAGUGCGCGGUGGGGGAAAUCGGCCACCAUUAGCUAAUCUCUCUGCUAUCGAUAGGUAGACAGAGGUUGGUCCUGCCGAUCGACCACAGAACACAAACUUGUCCAGCCAUAUGUUCAGGAAGGUUGUUUGUUCCUUUAUGUUGACAGGCCCCGUUCUGCGGUACUUCUGGAUGUACCCAGACCAGCCGCCGAUAGCGCGGGUAUCCACUUUGGCACUAGGCGUAGUAUCAAACAGGUGACUACUAUCGGCAGUGGAUACGUCUAGGCCGGUGAGCAUGAGCACAUCGGCAAGAGUGGGAGAAGCAGGGCCGUGGCCAAAGACAAAGGCAUUGAGUGUGUCUGACUAGAAAUAUGAUGCAGCUAUCAGCAGUGAUUCAUUCCUAUGCAUAUCGGCAAUGGACAACCUAAUGCAUUGAUCCAGUUUUCGCUCACCCCACUGAACCUCAUUUGAGUGGCCGACUCUCAAGAACCAAUCCUUCCAUCCCACUGUAGGAUUGGGCCAGGAACGGAAGGUAUCCUUCCACAGAUCCAGAGAGAAAUUCUCAGCUCUAAAGGGGAUUCUGUUAGUUUCUGCGUUAAUAAGAUCGGUGGGAUCUGGAUCCCCUAACGGACCAAGACAUUGAAGGUGUGGCUGAUCGGUAGGGAUGACAAUUUUAUUGGACAGAUCCUAAUGGUUUUGAAGGUAAAAAGAAGAACAAAAAAGGGGGAAGAAUGUUCAGUAAAAUAAAUUACGGAUGAACAGGGAUAUGGUAAAAGUACAAGAGGUAGAGUGAUGAACUGACCUCGGGAAUAGCGAAGUUCAUGGCCAUCUCCUCACGACAAGGGUGAUCGAAGACUUUGAGGCUGGAGAAGGAAGGGCUUCGUCGGAGUUCUUGGAGCUCUCGAACAGCGCCGCCACCUGGAAAGAGGAGUUGGGACUGUAGAAUGAUGCGAUGGAGAAGGAGUACCCGAUAAGGAACUAUUUAUAGGACAAAACGGGCAGGGGCAAAUCUAACUUAUCUCUUCGCUGUAUCCGUGAAAUCCGAGGGUACUCAGGUAGAUAUGGUAACUGUUCGCACGGUAAUCAAGGGAUUGUGCAGGUGAUUUGACAGGAAGCGGUCAUAAUCCAGAGAUAUUUCACUGUGCGGGAUCUCCCGGUCGGUCCAUCGGCAGCGCCUUGUAACGGUAAUAUUGCCGAUGGGCGAAUAAAGUGGGGAUGUCCGUUUGGGAGGUUGAGAUAUUUCACUGUGCGGGACAUCCUGAUCGGUCCAUCGGUAGCUCCUUGUAACGGUAAUAUUGCCGAUGGGCGAUUAAAGUGGAGAUGUCCGUUUGGGAAGUUGAGGAAUUCGAGGAAUCUGCGGAAGAAUCGGGUCAAGGUUGUUCAGAUUUAGGCUGUCGGUUACCAAAUUGGGAGAAUUAAUUGCGGAAAGGCAUCAUUACUGCAGAGAAUUUCGGAGCAUUAAUGAUUUCAUACUCCGAAAUUGGUGGGCAUGUGUUGACACCGUUUUUGGACACGUACCCAGGAUCGGUAGAGUGUAGAUCGGCAAGAUAGGGCAAUAGUAAUUGGUCUGCAGGAGAGUUGCCGAUGAGGGUGGUUGCCGAUGAGAAGGUAGCCGAAUGUGGCUAAGUCCAUGGGUGGUGAUGUGUUUAUGCCGAUGACCAGCAUUAACCUUUGCCGACGGAGAGUCUGCCGAUGACGUGGAAGGAAGACUUGAAGGUUGCCGAUUGGUCUAUGGUGGCGUCCCAGUUUGUCACGGGUGGAUAGUUUUAUGUUUUCCUUAGUUAUUUCAAUCGUUCUGUGUACGGAUUCCGUUUAAUUUGGAAUUUGAGUUCUAGUCGUGUUUGGUUGUAGCUCUUUGAGCAAGGUAUAAAUGUAGACCCUAGGGCUUUGUAAUUGACAUCUAUCAAUCAAUCAAACACAAGUUUUUACUCAUAUUCUAGCAUCUACUUUUUUCGAUGACUUCGUCAUCCCUUUUCCUUUUUUAUUACGAGUUCUUAGGAACCCAUCGACUUAAGCUCAGCCGUGGCAUCCGGGGGCAUCGCUGUUGUCGGGACCAAAGUAUUCGAGUUAUCACCUUUGCCGAUAGUAAGGUCAAAUCGGCUGGCACGCCUUAACCUUUGAACCAGGUAUUAGCCCUUUGUGUUUGCAGAUAUAGCUUUUGCAUCAACAGACUCUUCAACUAUAUAGUUAGGGUCAUUAAAGUAGUGGUGUACCUUCUCAGAGGGGAAGUGCAUGUGGACUUCUCUGGUUCCAAUGUAGUUGAUUGCUUUGACGGUGCUGAGGAACGUUCUUCCGAGGAUGAUGGGUGGAUCAUACUCGUCUUCUCCCAUGUCAAUGACCUAAAAAUCUGUAUGGACAAAAUGGUCGUCUAAUUUAACAAUGAUAUCAGUUACUAUACCUUCAACCUUUUAGAAUGUCUGAUCUGCCAUCUGGAGCUAAAUGUAUGUCGAUUUUAGGGGCAUGGUACCGAACAGAAGCUGAUAGGUGACUGUGGCCAUUAUGUUGACGCCUGAUCCGGUGUCGCAGAGUGUCUUCUAGAAAUAGUAUCCACUGAUUGAGCAUUGGAUGCUUGGCACUCCUGGGUCGUCCUUCUUGAUCAGGAAGGGCGACUUGAGUUGACGAUCUUGGCCUCUAUGAACUACAGUGACUAUUUUGGUUGACUCGGUCCACACUUGCUUCUUGCUCUUGUUCCUCCUGUUGGUCCUUUUCCUUGGUUCAUAUUGAGGUUGUUCUGGGAUUUGUGCAGUCUUGUUCUUGAAGGAAAAUGUCUCCUUCCUCCCCUUGAUGUAGAAACUGAUCUUGGCAGCACUAGCGUAGAUGAAAGCCCCCGAGGUGUUCAGGAAUGACCUCCCCAGGAUGACGGGUGCCCUCUCAUCAGUACCGGUCUCUAUCACCACGAAGUAUGCUGGGACAUACAAGGUACCAACUCGGACACAGAUGUUCUUCAGUAUUCCUUUUGGAAAGCUCAAUGUCUGAUCUGCAAGCUACAAACACAUGGUUGUUUCUAAUAAAGGAUGUGUAAAGAAUUUUUCAUAGAGUACCCUGGGCAUAAUGUUGACGCUGGAGCCAAAGCCGCAGAGUGCCUCUAGGAAGUCCACCAUGCCUGUCACAGAACCGACCAAAUUAUAAGAGUUCAAGUGCAGAAACGAUCAACUAGCAAUCAAGUUUCCAUACUUGAGCCCAUAUAAUCCCAGUAGUCAACCGAAAUCACGAAGGACUUCAAACCAACAUGGAACAAACCAAGAUUGUAAUAGUUCAACAUAACACAGCGAAUGUUACAUAGUCAUUCAUUGCCGUCGAUGCGGCACCACAUCGGAGUUAAUUAGUUAUUACAACCCAAGUUUGCAGUAGCGGAAGCAAAAUAUUUUACAACACACAUUCCAAAGUUCUUUUUAUUGUCAGAGUCUCAUGCCAUCCAUCCAAAAGCAACAGGUACGAAGUUGUUAGAGAACCGUGCCCAACGGUUUAGUCCUCAUCCCCAGCGGGAUGGAGACAGGUCUUGCAGAAGCCAUCAUAAAAGAUAUCAUCUGCAACAGGUGGGAAUAAACCUUAAGUACGAAGAUGUACUCAGCUAGACUUACCCGUCUAGUAAACUAUAAAAGACACCAAGGAUCAUGCAAGGCUAUUAUAAAGUGUAGCUGGCUUGACUCAACAUUUGCCAAAAGCUCAAGUGAUUACUAUCCCAUUUGUAAAGGCAUCAUAUUAAUCUUUAUUAACCCAGCACUAGAUUAGCACCUGUAAUAAAGCACUUCACUUUGAUUAAUACAAACAAUAAUAACCAUAUCAAGUUGAUCAUAUGCUCUUUCUAGCUAUCAUCAUUAUCACGAACCAUUGUUCUUUAGUGAAUGCUACGUUUGCCGCUGCUCUGUCAAGUUCUCAUUAUCCGGGAGAGACGGCGAUUUGAAUCGAUUCCUAUCCAGCUGGAGGGUUAUUCCUAGCACUCACCCAAGCAUCCCCCGUCGGAGAGCAAAUGGGUCACCUUUGGUAUGACUCAGGAAUCGCGGCUCCGAUCAGCGCCGCACUCCCAGGGCUACCACUCUGCCUGGGAGGUCAGGACUUUUAACUCACCUGCCUUUGGUCUUACGCCAAUGGUCCCCCGCACACCACACUUCCUCCGAUAGUGCGCACUUUAUACUUGCCGGUCUUCCGGCCUGAGUCAUACUACUAGGCUUCGCGAUUGAAACGAAUUAUCCGGCCAACUAAGUGUUAGGCAUGCGUUCAACAUGACAAGUGGACGUGCAACGAUCGGUCCUUAGCUGCCACAGACGGAGUUACUACAACCUUGCAAAACUCCACCCGGCUUAAGUCAUUUUAAUCAGGUUCUUUCCACGAUAGCACAUAUAGACGAUCGUGAUCCGACACAACUCGCGCAGGUGACAGGAUAUCACUCAACUUCUACCGAUUUAAGCAUGGCUAAGCUGCUACUCGAUCCUAACUCUAUGACCAGGCAAUGGUAAGAUAUCUGCACAAGGAAUAAGGAUAAUGCAGCAAGGGUUUCAUCACAACUCCUAUACGUAAUGCAUCAAUAGAUAUAACAUAUUCAAGUAAACUUUUAAAAUUAAAGUGGGAGACUUAAGAUGCUCUGGGGCUUGCCUUUCACGAACGAGGCAGGCUCGUGAUUAGGGCACUCAAUCUCCUCUUCGGGCUCCUCGUGUCCGACUGGCUGGAGCUCCGCCUCCGGAUUGAUCUCCUGGCCUUCGGGAUUCACCAGGUUGGGCUCGAACGAGGUCGCCGCUUCCGAUGCACCUAUUGCAUGCAUGAUGAAUAAGAAUGUGUGCAUCCUAGAUGAGGAUGAAUGCUUGAUAACAUAAUUAGAACUUCACUGGACACUCAUUUACGGAGUAACUCUCAUUACAAGUUCACACAAGAUGAUUAACUACUGAGCAAGAUUACCAACUUAAACUACAAACAGCAAGCAUCCCAUAACAGAACAGCUCAGUAAACAGAUCAUAACUAUUGCAAUAUAAAUCCAACAAACAUGAAUGAGGACAUUCUGGAAAGCUUAUGAAAUUGUCUAUAUUUCAUCUUUAUAGAUCACAGCAGGAUUCCCAAGUUAAACAGGUCAAUUAAACAAAGUUCCAGGUUCUGUCCCAGAAAAACAGAGAACACCUAUUUCUGGAACCCAACUUGGAAGAGCCAUAACUUUUAGACUAUUGGACCAAAUGAUCCCAAAUUUAAACCACAGCUAGUUCAUAAAGUUUACAAAAACUUUGAUUUAGAGAAGUCUUCCAGAAAACCAAGUUAUCAUUAAGCAAAGGUUAGAUUACUCCCUUGCUGUCCAGAACAGCUUUUAGCCCUCUAAUUAAUUAUUUGAUGACAUAGCCAAAACAUAUUUAGUGCCAACCAAAUGGCUUACAAGCACAAGUAUACCCUAAGGUUGCCAGAGCAUCACAUGCUAACCACUAAACACCCAAUAACAUGGCACUUAUUAAUUUAAUUCCAUAAAGGGACAUAAUUACAAGCUAUCAACAAAAGUACUCAGAAAACUCUACAACAAUUACAGAAACACAAGCAUGGCAUCUACACAUUACCAUAAAAAUUUCAGAGCAAUUACACAUGCCAAACUUAAGAUAAGUAUUUAACAUGUAUCAAGGUGCUUAUUUCAUAAAUUAAGAAACAUGGCUUAGGUAGUGUCAAACAACAUAUUUCAGAUUAUUUACAUGUUACUAUUACCAUAAAAAAAGCUUGACACUAAAAUAGAAUACCAGCAUAAGCAUAAAUCAUUUAUUAUGAUUUAAUUAAGAAAACAAGCCAUAGAACCAACAUAAAUUAUAUAUCACAGAAACAUUACUCUAAAAAUCAUGAAAUAUUUAUCAUAGCAUUCUAAUACCACUCAGAGCACAACAUAAAAAUUUCAUAGCAAAAGAAGCAGUCUAUCAACAGAUAUGAAUUUACACAUAAAUAACAUGAUUAAAUCAUAACAAUUAUUUUUCCCAGAAAACAUGGUACAUUUUAUAUUUUUAUUAAAAACUAGCCAUCUCAAGGAACAUCACAAAAUUUAUCUCACAAAUUUUGGAUCAGAGGAACUAGAGAAAUGAUUUUUGCAAAAAUAGCACAAACCCUUAAUCAAACAAAGGAGAAAGAGAGACUGACAGGGGGACCCCGCAGGUCAACGGACCCCACACGUCAGUGACCCGAGAGCAGAGGCGCGACUUGACCGCCGGAGAUCUCGUCGACGGCGAGGUCUCGGCGACGGCCAAGAGCACCAUUGUGCUCCUCACUCCAUUCCGCACCGAUUGGUACCAGGAACCCUAACUCUACCGCACCCUAGGUACCUCGCCCUCGCGAAUGGCGGCACGACGGUGGUGUGCGGCCGACCGCCGGCGUCUCUGGUCGGAGACUGGGCAAAAGAGGACUCGGACGAGCAUCAGCACGACUCAGCGGAGCUUUUGGGACAAGAACGAGGAGAAAUGGUGGACUACAGAGCCCUGACCACGACACCGGUGACCACGGCGGAGCUCCGGCGAGGUAAGCUCGCGACGGAGAAGACAAUAUGGGCUCACUGAAGCUCGGCAGCCACAGCCAACUCGACGACGGGGAAGCGGGGAAGCUGGCGGAGCUCUGGGCGGAGUUGCUCAGCCAGAGGUGCUGAGACGCGAGCGCGCGAGCUCGCCGAAGUAGUGGCGGCGACGCGGAGAAGACGACGAGCGCGAGAGAGGGCGGACCGGAGUGGAAAUGGCGCUGUCCACGUGACCAGGGGCGUCGUGGUGAGCUGUAGGACAUACGGAUGCCACGAGUCUAGACACGCGGCGUCACCGGCGAGCUCCCCUCUACUGACGCCGUCUCGAUUCAGUUUCAGAGCCGACUGAAACUUGAUUUUGGACUUCGAUGAUCUCCUAAACUAUUCGAUGAUUUUGCUAGCUAAUUGCUCCAUGCUGUAGAGCUACAUGAGAACUCCAACAUUGCUUACAAGAUCAAGGUUUGAUUCGGCCUAGAUUUCAAAAUGGGAGCUAAACAAAACACCCUCGAGCAAACUGUUGCAAUCCCAGACUUAGAAAAUUUUCUAAGUGUUGGAAACAGCCCCAAAUCUGCCUUGUGGGCCAUUUUUGAGCUAGAUGUGAUCACUUCCAUGAGAUGUCCAUAAAACAACUUUUGUUCCUUAUAACAUUUGCUACAACUUUGCUAUAGAAUGUUUUGACAUGCAAACACUUUAUGAAACACUUUUUAAAAGCUUAAGCAAAAGAGGUUUCUAGGGCCUAUACAUGGAAGUAUGACUUAAGUACUUAAUUUGGAGAAGUGAUCAACAUGAACAUUGUUCCAAAGGUUGAGUUAAGCAUAGAGAAACUAUUUACUAAGGAAUAGCACACAAGCAUGAGCAUGGUAUAAGUAAACACAAGCAUAGGAAGUAUAUUUAAGCAAGUUAAAUCACAUUUUGGCAUAAAAUGACAUGACUCAAGGUAGAUGAUGAUCAUGAUAUGCUUGAGUAGAUGAUGAUGCUCAUGUUAUGCAUGUGAUUGAUGCAACCAUAACACUGGGGUGUUACAGCCCUCCCCCCUUACAAAAAUCUCGUCCCGAGAUUUGGAAGCUUACUGAUUUUCGAAGAAGGUUUUAUAAACUUCUUUUAAAUAGUCCUCUGUUUCCCAAGUGGCAUCUUCCUCCCCGUGGUUACUCCACAACACUUUGUAGAACUUAACCACAUGAUUACGAGUCACCCGUUCCUUGCGGUCGACCACCGCUACAGGUUUCUCUUCAUACACGAAGUCAGAUUUCAACUUGAUAUCCCGAACUUCCACUCAUUCCUCUAGAACUCGAAGGCAUUUCUUCAAUUGUGAUACGUGAAAAACAGGAAAAAUAUCUCGAAGCUCAAUUGGUAGUUGAACUUUGUAUGUUACGUUCCCUUUUCUCUCGAGAAUCCGAUAAGGUCCUACAUAGCGAGGUGCAAGCUUUCGCUUGACUCCGAACCUCUGUACGCCUUUCAUCGGAGACACCUUGAUAUACACAUGGUCACCGACUGCAAACUCAAUUGGUUUCCUUCUCUUAUCAGCAUAACUUUUCUGACGAGCUUGAGCAGCUUCCAGAUGUUAUUGGAUGGUACGGACUUGCAGCUUUGCUUCGUUCACGAAAUCGAUGCCAUAAUACCUUCGUUCCCCGGAUUCCACCCAAUUCAACAGGGUUCGACAUUUACGACCAUACAGGGAUUCAAAUGGAGCCAUCAUGAUGCUCUCUUGGUAACUAUUGUUAUAAGAGAACUCAGCUAAUGGUAACCACUUUACCCAAGAACCUUUUGAAGAGAGAGCACAUGCUCUCAACAUGUCUUCUAGAAUUUGGUUAACCCGUUCAGUUUGGCCGACCGUUUGAGGAUGAUAAGCAGAACUAUGAACCAAGUGAGUACCAAUCUGCUCAUGCAGACACUCCCAAAAACGAGCAGUGAACUGUGGUCCACGAUUUGACAUGAUAGUUCGAGGCACACCAUACUGACGGACAAUGUGCUCGAAGUACAACUCUGCAUACUGAUGUGGACGAUAGUCAGUUCGAACGGGAAUAAAACGGGCAACCUUGGUCAAACGAUCCACAAUCACCCAGAUAGAGUUGUAACCCUUAAUAGAAAUUGGGAGUCCAGAGAUGAAAUCCACACUAACUUCUUCCCAUUUCCAACCAGGAAUUGACAAGGGUUGAAGUAAGCCUGCUUUCAUGUGAACAGCCUUCACACGACAACAGUUGUCACAACGAGCGACAAAAGCAGCAAUCUCCUUUUUCAUCUUGGUCCACCAAAACAGAGGUUUCAGAUCCUGAUACAUCUUGCUACUACGAGGAUGGAUAGACAACUUGGAUGAAUGAGCUUCAGAUAAAAUCUGGUUUCGUAGCUCACGGUCUUUUGGGACCACAAGUCGAUCCUUGAACCAUAGAAUUCUGUUUUCAUCGACCCGGAAAUGGUUGGUUUCUUCUUCUUUCAUUUUCCUCUUUAUAUGGUAGAUGCCUACAUCUGUUUGCUGCAAUUUGAUGUCUCGAUUGCGAAGAGAACUCUCUAGAGAAAUCAGGUUGAGCACAAGUGGGUGCAAAAGAUGUGACAACAAUGGAUCUUCCAUCUGGACUGAAUGACAGUGCGUCUUCUGACUCAAGGCAUCCGCAACCAUGUUUGCCUUGCCCGGAUGGUAGAGCACUUGAAGAUUAUAAUCUUUAAUCAACUCAAGCCACCUUCGCUGUCGCAUGUCCAAUUCAGGUUGAGUGAAGAUGUACUCAAGACUCUUAUGAUCCGUGUAGAUAUUGCACAGAUUACCCAGCAAAUAGUGCCUCCAGAUUUUCAAAGCAUGGACAACUGCAGCCAAUUCUAAGUCAUGAGUAGGAUAAUUGACCUCAUGCUUUUGAAGUUGGCGCGAGGCAUAAGCGAUAACACGACCUUCAUGCAUCAACACACAGCCUAGGCCGAUACCAGACACGUCACAAAAGACAUCGAAAUGCUUCUCGAUAUCGGGUUGAGCUAGGACAGGAGCUGAUGUUAGCAAUGUCCUCAACUUGUGGAAUGCUUCUUCACACUUCGGCGUCCACACAAACUUCUCAUCCUUCUGAAAGUAGGCGAGUCAUAGGCUUGGAUAUUUUUUAGAAUUCCAGAAUGAAUCGAUGAUAAUACCCAGCCAGACCUAGAAAACUCCGAACCUCAUGCACCAAAGUUGGAACCUUCCAGUCCAGCAAUUCUUUCACCUUAGCUGGAUCCACCGAUAUGCCUUCUUCAGAUAAGACGUGGCCCAAGAAAGGAACUUUCUUUAGCCAAAACUCACAUUUGCUGAACUUGGCGUAAAGCUGAUGCUCACGCAAACGCGACAACACUACACGCAGAUGCUCCACGUGCUCUUUUUCAUUGCGAGAAUAUACCGAGAUAUCAUCAAUGAAGACUACCAUAAAUUUGUCCAAUUCGUGCAUGAAUACCGAAUUCAUGAGAUACAUGAAGUGAGCAGGCACAUUCGUAAGACCGAAAGACAUGACGAGAUACUCAUACAACCCAUACCUCGUCGAGAAAGCUGUCUUAGGUACAUCUUCAGGACGGAUCUUGAUCUGAUGGUACCCAGAUCGCAAAUCAAUCUUGGAGAAUACCUUGGCUUUAGACAACUGGUCAAACAGGAUAUAAUGCAAUGAAGAGGGUAUUUAUUCUUGAUGGUCACCGCAUUCAGGGGAUGAUAGUCCACACACAUGCGCAAGGACUGAUCCUUCUUCUUCACAAAGAUAGCCGGACAACCCCAAGGAGAAGAACUAGGACGAAUAAGACCCUUCUUCAACAACUCAUUAAGCUAGGUCUUAAGCUUAGCAAGCUCAUUUGGUGGCAUUAUAUAUGGUCUUCUAGAGAUAGGAGCAGUACUUGGAAGCAAUUCAAUUUUGAACUCCACAUCCCGAUCUAGAGGAAGCCCGGGCAAAUCAUCAGGGAAUACAUCUGAGAACUCACACACUACUGGAAUAUCCUCGAUGGCCCUAGAUGUAACUACAUUCAUCGUGCUACGAAUAUGAAUAUCUCAAGGAAGUUGCACUAAGAACGCCUCUUUGGUAUUCGGGUCUCUCAACAUCACCGCGCUAGUGGUGGUAUCGAUAAGAACUCCGUUGCAACUCAUCAACUGCAUACCCAGAAUUACAUCUAUACCCACACCUGGUAGAACAACCAGAUUAGCAAGGAACUGAUGGCCUCCUAUUUCCAGAGUUGCCCCCAAAACCACUUGAUUGGUAGAAAUAUCAUUUCCAGCAGCACUAAUGCAAUAACUGCCCUUAUCAAGUGUAAUUGCCUUGAGAUUAUGCUUAGACACAAAGUCUGAACUCACAAAAGAAUGCGAUGCUCCUGAAUAAAAAAGCACAAGUGCAUCACAUUGAUUAACCAAAAACUUACCAGUCGUAACUACCUCACCAGCAGGGAUUGCUUCCACAGUUGUAUAGUGAACACGCACCUGACGGACGUUCCCUUGGUUGCCCUUCUUUGGCGGGUAAGGACAGUUGCUUUGCCAGUGCCCUGUCUGAUUACAGUUCCAGCACGGAUGGUUGCUAGGUGGAGUCUUGGCAUAGCUAGGACCGGUGUUGCCCAUAGGAAGAGCAAUGGAGUGACCCUUGUGGAACCCCGUCUUCGCCUGAUUCUUCUUCGCUGGAGGGCGAUAUCGCUGGUUAGGAGUUGGAGCACAAUACUGGGGCCUAGCUGCCACUGGAGCCUUGGACUGAGAUGCCCCUGCCCCGGCCUCAAAAGCCCUCUUACGAGUCUUGGUCGACGUGUACACAGUGUUGUUGUUCUCUUGGGUAAGAGCAUCACUGACAAACUCAUUGAAAGUUGCACACUUGGUGCGGCCCAUCGUCUUCAACAACUUGGGGCCAAGACCCCUCUUGAAGCUAGCAUUCUUCUUCAUCUCAGUGCUCACAAACUCAGGAGCAUACCUUGACAGGUGAUUUAAAACAUGCAAGUACUCCUUCAGGGUUUUGUUGCCCUGAGUUAACUGCAUAAACUCGGUAUGCUUCAUUUCCAUGACACCAGGAGGGAUGAAAUGCCCCUUGAAAGCUUCACGAAAGAGAUUCCAGUCAAGCAUAGUGUUCUCCGGAAGAGCCUCACAAUACUAAUUCCACCAUAUGCCUGCCGGAUCCUGCAGUUGGUGAGCUGCAUACUCGGCCUUCAAACCAUCGGUCAGCCGAAGCAAGCGGAACUUUUGUUCCACCGUGUUCAGCCACUCCUCAGCUUGAAGGGGUUCUUCAGCCUCUGAAAGAUGGGGGUGUUGGGUAUUUUAAACGUAAACAGAAAAAUCCGCAAGCGCACGGAUACCGAUGUAGCCUUCACCCGGGGGUAUUCCAGAGUAUCGAUUUUUCACAGGGAAUGUGAGUGUACUAAUUAAGAUUCAAGAUCGCCCAAGGAUAACUAUAUAAUUAUUUUUGGUGGAAAGAGAGGAAGUUUCCUAAGAGUUCUCUAGUUGAUCUAAGAAUCAAGAACUCAAGAUUAUUUAUAUCGGGACAUCAGAGCACUAUCCACAAAAAGAGAUGAGAAGGGGGCUAGGAAGGUCUGACUACGGUCCUACAAACACCGAUCCGAACGAGGUGGAAUACGUCGACCGUUAAGGCUGUCACUACCCUAAGGCUACCACAACAAUCCGCAGGAUUGGGUGCAAUUCCAGGUAAUUGCAAGACUAAACACCACGUCUAAUCUAUUAAUUACUACUCUAGCGUUAUAAAGACUAGAGCACUUGAUGCAAGUGGAAAUCCAAUAAAUAACUUGAAUGUAAAUAAAAGUAAUUAGAGAACUCAGGAAUUAUGAAUUGAAGAACCUGGAGAACGAUGAAGAACGAACCAGUAGCUGCAAAAGUACAAUGUUGAGGAAGAUCCGACAGAUCCGGCUCCUCCUCCGCUCUCCUCUUCUCUCUCCCUAUUUUCUAGAUUACAACUAGAACUAACUAGAACUAGAACUAGAGGAACUAGAACUAGAACUAGAUGAAAUAGAACAAGAACUAGAUGAACUAGAGGUAGAACUAGAAGAACUAGAGGGAUCCACUCUACUUGGAUGAAGAAUUGAAACCCUAACUUUGAUUCUGUAGAAGAGGUAUGAUCUCUAGGGGCUAGAGGGUCUGGUUUUAUAGUCCCUUGAAGUGAAUAUGGGCCGUUGGAUCAAACCGACAUUGAUUGAAUGGUUAUCCUUGAUCCUUUAGGUCGGUGGAGCAAUAUCCCAAAAGAGAGUCCUGUUUGGACUCUAUGUGAGGGCGGGCGCCCAGGAGAGUAGGGCGGGUGCCCUGUCCCUGAGUCCUCUCGGCCUCUGCUUCGGUCCCAUGGCUUCUGGAGUCUUCUAGAUGAUAGAAAAUUGCGCGGCACGUUAAUAUCUCUAUGUAAACCCGACGUGUCGGCCUUUCCUCCGUAUUUCCUGAUAACCCCCUGCAGAAAUAGAUAAACACCAAAACUCAUGGAAUUCUAUCAGAUAAAACCCUAAGUCUAGGUGUUAGAUGCAUUUGGAUCCUUUUCCAUGAUUAGCUGAUGGUUAAAUGUGAGCAUUAAGGACCGUCAACAAGCUCCCCCAAGCUUAACCUUUGCUCGUUCCUGAGCAAAGAUGGACUCAAGAGUUUCUGCAGUAGUUUCAUGCCUUAAAGGUACACAUGCGUUUACACAAGAUCUCAUCUCUGAGUUAGGGUAAACUGUUAAGACUUAAAACUUACUCAUUUUACCUUCCACCACGGGGCUUGUAACCAUCACCUGUCUUGAGCAGUUAAAAGAUAGAACGGUCUAGUCAAGCGCCAUGUCUCUUGUUCUUCGAUUAACUAUAGCUCUGGAGUUUUUUGUAGAUUUUCAAAUAAAACUCAGAGAUUCCUUGUAUGACUCUCUCUAGUCUCUCUUUUGUGGUAUUUCUGGAUCCUUACCAAGGCAGUAAUGGUGUAUGCCUUCUCUCAAAGUAUGUGGUAUUAUUGGUAUGAGGCAUAGUGGCAUUGCCUUCUCUGUCACCCUACUUUAAUAAGGUUUUGAUAUCUGGAGCUCAUAGGUGGGAGACAGCUAAUACAUACUUACAAGACAUUUAUUGCAUAGUCAAACCAUGGAUUCAGAAGAACAAGUCAAUAAGUCAAAUCAAGAUGUGCAUGUGUGGCGAAUGAAUGGUGCAUGGUAAUGAUGGUGAUAACAAUGGUGAAAGUCUAAUUCUACUUGUGCUCUUUUGAGGGGAUACAUACCUUUCUUGCUCUUUUGAAACUUUUAGAGGGGAAUGAGAUGCUCUAUAUUUUCUUUUCUUUUUUUUUCUUUUCUCUCAGGUGGGUAUCUUGUACCCCUAAUUCUACUGUCGGACACUUGUCCAUUUUUACCUCUCGUCUCACUUUUUGUUUUCUUUCGAGGUUCUGGGCACUUGCCCCUUUUUAUUUCCUCAUAUUCACUUUUUUCUUCAGAGCACUCAUCCUCCUAGAAUAAUAUAGCAAGUGGUAGUAACCAAAAUAUCUUGAGCAUUUAUUUCACAGGGGAAAUAGAAAUGUUUUUGGCUACUCUCUCCCGGAUUAGGAGUAGAAUAUUUUUAGUUGAUUCUGGAGAUGGAAAUGUGUGGAUAUAUGUGGAUGCGUACUUCUGGAAUAGAAGCAGCAUGUGUGAGUGAACGUGCAAGUGAAUCUUGAUUUAAACACAUGACAAGCUCCUAAGGGUCUACACAGCUUGACCACACUCAAUGCUCAUAAGCAGUAAAGUAAAUGUACGGUUCAAAGUCUACCAAGCAUGUAUAUAUGGCUGUGGUAGGAAUUUAAAUUCUCAUCAUAUAGGAACUCAUCAUGUGAUAUUUUAAAGAUUUUUCAAAGAUAAAAUUCUCCAGAAUUCUAGCAUCUCUAGGAACAGAUAAACAGCAGCUCAACCUUCCCAUAUCAUAUCCGUUAACGACUUAGACUUCAGAUCAAGUACUCUUCCCACAAGUUCAGGUUUAGAGCAGAGUUAAAUUAUAACAGUUAUGCCUAAACUCGAGAGAGAUUUCAAUUUUGAGAACUAGUCAUGGCUGAGCAACUAUUCAUCAUUUCCAUGUGAGAGCUUAUCAUGAGGGUUCAUAGCAAACUUUAUUUAUUUAUUUAUUUAGCAAACUAAGCAAAGAUAUAUAUAAGCACAAAAUCUUUAUUUGGGUUUUUAUGAUUGUGCAUCUUUUUUAUUAUUUAAGUAAAGUAUAAACAUGAGUAGAACACUUAGCUGGAUAAAUGGGGUGCUCUCCCCCAAGCUAGAUUUUGACGUAAUUUCUUCUGAUGUAGCUAGCAGGUGGCGGAGGUGUAUUUGAAUGUUGGCAGCACCCUGACAGCGAUUAGGAUGUCCUCUGUCUGCUAGUCUUCUUUGAUCCUUGAAUUCUGUGGAGCUCAAAUAGACAACAAAGCUUUGUGGAACUAGUUAAGUGUUAGCAUAAAUAUCUAGCCUUUAUCAUGUUGAGCCUCCUCAAUAAAUGUUACUCUCUUAGUAGGAUCAUUUAUUUUUAUAAUUUUAUUUUUAUAGGACAGGAAUAUAUUUAUUUUAUUUUUAUGCCACCACAGUGAAUGUACUUAUGGGUUUUAUGCCAUGAGCAUACUCACAUGGGGCUUACUAUUUUUAACAUUUUUCUUUUCUUUUCAAGAUGAUAUGAACCUGAUUAACUAAGCAAACUAUUUUAAAAUAAUUGAAAGGAAAAAGAUAACUACAAAGUUUACCUCUUGGCAAGGCGUUCGGUGUUUUUAAGUCCUCCGAACGGGACUCUCCUUUUCCUCAGUCGUCCUAGGAUUCGCUGGAUGGCGUAGUCGGUGGUUCCGGCGGCGCCUCUUCUUCAUGUAUAACUAUUUUCUCACUCCACACCUAACUCGGUGCUACGGUCUCCUCAGGACAGUUUUGUUCAAGCUGUAUGUCUUCAGACCUUACUAAUUUUCCUUUGUAGUCUGCCCAUCCGUCCUUGAUGAUUUGCCUCCUCUAGUUACGGUUGCGUCGUCUUCUUCUUGUCCUGAUCUGCUUAGAGUCUUCAAUUAUAUAAUUGGGGUCAAUAAAAUAGCGGCGUACCUUCUCAGAGGGGAAGUGCAUGUGGACUUCUCCGGUUCCAAUGUAGAUGAUUGCUUUAACGGUGCUGAGGAACGAUCUUCCAAGGAUGAUGGGUGGAUUGUACUCGUCUUCUCCCAUGUCAAUAACCUUAAAAUCAUCUAGAGCUGAAUGUAUGUUGGUUGUAAGGGUAUGGUUCUAUGCAGGAGCUGAUAGGUGACUGCGGCCAUUAUGUUGACGCCUGAUCCGGUGUCGCAAAGCGUCUUCUGCAAAGAAUAUCCAUUGAUUGUGCACUCGAUGCUUGGAACACCAAGGUCGUCCUUCUUGAUCAAGAAAGGCGACUUGAGUUGAUGAUCUUGACCUCCUUGAGCUGUAGUGACCAUCUUAGCUGACUCAGUCCACAUUUGCUUGUUCCUGUUCCUCUUGUUGGUCCUCUUCCUUGGUUCAUGUCAGGAAUGCUUUGAGAUUUGUGUAGUCUUGUUCUUGAAGGAAAACGUCUCCUUCCUCCCUUUGAUGUAGAAACUGAUCUUGGCAGCACUAGCGUGGAUGACAGCUCCCGAGGUGUUCAGGAAUGACCUCCCUAGGAUGAUGGGUGCUCUCUCAUUAGUAUCAGUCUCUAUUACCACGAAGUCUGCUGGAGCGUAUAAGGUACCAACUCGGACACAGAGGUUCUUCAAUAUUCCCUUUGGGAAACUUAGUGUCUGAUCUGCAAGGUGCAAACACAUGGUUGUUUCUAGUAAAGGAUGUGUAAAGAAUUUUUCAUAGAGUACCCUGGGCAUAAUGUUGACGCUGGAGCCAAAGACAUAGAGUGCUUCUGGGAAGUCCACCAUGCCGAUGGAGAUCAGGUUGACGGGGCAUCCUGGAUCACCUCUCUUGACCGGCACAAGGUCAGUAAUUACUUCCAUAACGGGGUUACUCCAGUAGUUAUGUCCUCAAGCAUCUCAGGGCAGUGGUUGCCUGAGUGUCCAGUCUCUCCAGUGUGUUUGUGCUCAUAGAUCUAGGUUCUUCACUUGGUGGAGUCUGGGAGUUGUAAAAGUCCUUCAUAUUUUGCUCAAAGUGUACCUGCUCAUAGAGACAAGGCAGAGAUCAAGUGCAUGGGCCCUGUUGGUGGAAAACACCAACAGAACCAAAAGUGUAUUUGUUCUUCUCUAACCUUAAGCAUAGUGAGCAAGACAAAGUUGAUGGAUAAUAAGAUCAUGAGUGUAGCAUUUAAAACAUUUGUCAGAUCAAAUCACUCAACCUAAUGGAAAGAUAAUCUAUCUAUACUUAUGUGUUUUGUUUAUAUCUUCUAGAGAUUGAAUGUGCAACAUUUUAGCUUAUAUGAUUAGGAGUGUAGGAUCACAAAGGUGGAAGGACUAAACAUAUUGAAUCGAUUGGGUUGGUUAAUCUAGAGUUGUAAAUCAUACAUGUUUGUCUCUUUUAUUCAUAUGAAUGCCAGAACCAAGGAGAAGCUUAUAAAAGUGAUAGUCAAGUACUUUAAGAUGUUACCUUACCUGAAGAGUGAUGGCACAGUAUCACCUUGUGGAUGCUUUCCUCUCUUAGCGGUUGUGCAUCGUGUUUAUGACACCCUCGAUGGAUCAUCUCUUGUGAGCUAUGCUUUCCUUGUGUAAAUUGUUAAACUUCAUGUGUCUCUCUCUUUGUCUCCAAUGUGAGUUUAUCUCAGGACUUCCCAAGUUGAUGUUGAAAGUUUUUUUUUGCAGGGGUUAGUCUGACAAAAUAUACGAAUGUCUACACAAGCUGUUUUUAGUUCAAUAACCAAACUAGACUCCAUGUCUAAUUAGAUUAAGGAAGGCUGUUUAACCUAAGCACCAUGCUUAAUUUAAAAACCAAUAGAAGUAUGUACAGUACUUCCAAACUAACACUUACUAGGAUAAACAAAGGUAGCGUGAUGGCUUUUAUAGAGAUCUACUCAAGUGGAGAUGAAGUAGUGUGAUUACUAUUUAACAAAUUGAGAAUGUCUCAAAGGUAGGGACAACCAACAUAGCAACAUGGCAAAUUAUGUUUUUAUAUAAAGUACUCCCCGAAGCUUGAAUUUUGCAAAAUUCAAGUUUGGAUGAAUUUAAUUCAAUGUUGUAUGAUGAUUGGUUGUACAUACCUUGUGCUUGUCAUUCAUCCGAUCUUCUUGCUCUAAUCCUGGAAAGGUUAGUGACAAGAAUACCCGAAGGAAUUUUUUUACAAUUAUCCUUAUAUGCUCAAUACACAAGGUAAUGUUGCAAAUAAUUAAAAGCUCAUGUUAUGAUCUGAUCAGUGCUUGUUUUAGGACACUAAGCUUGUCCUUGGGAAACCAUCAAUUUAUGUCGGCGAAGUGGUUCCCCCUCCAACGCUGACCUAUAUCAAGAUCAACUCAACGAGAUCUGCAAUAUUUAAUAUAGACAUAUGCAUCGACAACCGCCCUUUUAAUGUUUUUAUAAAUAGAAAGGAAGAGGGGGUUGGAGAUCUCAAAUGUGGUGAUGUUGGAGAGACCAAUGGAUUGUGAAGAUGUUGCAUAUGAGCAUGGAGUAAAUGAAGUGGCUAUGAAAUAAAUUCCAUGCUCAUUAAUGCUUUGAGUGACAUCCAUGUGGUGUGGUGAAAAUGGUAAGGUGAGUGUGGUAAAAAAAAGAAAAGAAAAAGGAUACACAGACGACUUGGUUCGAAACUAGCACAGCUACCGUUCCCCGGCAACGGCGCCAGAAAGCUUGUUGGGUAUUUUAAACGCAAACAGAAAAUUCCGCAAGCGCACGGAUACCGAUGUAGCCUUCAGCCGGGGGUAUUCCAGAGUAUCGAUUUUCCACAGGGAACGUGAGUGUACUAAUUAAGAUUCAAGAUCGCCCAAGGAUAACUAUAUAAUUAUUUUUGGUGGGAAGAGAGGAAGUUUCCUGAGAGUUCUCUAGUUGAUCUAAGAAUCAAGAAUUACUUCAAGACUAUUUAUUUCAGGACAUCAGAGCACUAACCACAAAAAAAGAUGAGAAGGGGGCUAGGAAGGUCUGACUACGGUCCUACAAACAUCGAUCCGAACGAGGUGGAAUACGUCGACCGUUAAGGCUGUCACUACCCUAAGGCUACCACAACAAUCUGCAGGAUUGGGUGCAAUUCUAGGUAAUUGCAAGACUAAACACGACGUCUAAUCUAGUAAUUACUACUCUAGCGUUAUAAAGACUAGAGCACUUGAUGCAAGCAGAAAUCCAAUAAAUAACUUGAAUGUAAAUAAAAGUAAUUAGAGAACUCAGGAAUUAUGAAUUGAAGAACCUGGAGAAUGAUGAAGAACGAACCAGUAGCUGCAAAAGUACAAUGUUGAGGAAGAUCCGAUAGAUCCGGCUCCUCCUCCGCUCUCCUCUUCUCUCUCCCUAUUUUCUAGAUUACAACUAGAACUAACUAGAACUAGAACUAGAGGAACUAGAACUAGAACUAGAUGAACUAGAACUAGAACUAGAUGAACUAGAGGUAGAACUAGAAGAACUAGAGGGAUCCUCUCUACUUGGAUGAAGAAUUGAAUCCCUAACUUUGAUUCUGUAGAAGAGGUAUGAUCUCUAGGGGCCAGGGGGUCUGGUUUUAUAGUCCCUUCAAGUGAAUAUGGGCCGUUGGAUCAAACCGACAUUGAUUGAACGGUUAUCCUUGAUCCUUUAGGUCGGUGGAGCAAUAUCCCGAAAGAGAGUCCUGAUUGGACUCUAUGUGAGGGCGGGCGCCCUGUCCCUGAGUCCUCUCGGCCUCCGCUUCGGUCCCGUGGCUUCUGGAGUCUUCUAGAUGAUAGAAAAUUGCGCGGCAUGUUAAUAUCUCUAUGUAAACCCGACGUGUGGGCCUUUCCUCCGUAUUUUCUCAUAACCCCCUGCAGAAAUAGACAAACACCAAAACUCGUGGAAUUCUAUCAGAUAAAACCCUAAGUCUAGGUGUUAGUUGCAUUUGGAUCCUUUUCCAUGAUUAGUUGAUGGUUAAAUGUGAGCACUAAGGACCGUCAACAGGUGGCUUAGUAUCCAUGAAAUCCUUGAAGCUACUGUACUGAUUAGGUGCUGGCCUAUCCGGUGCAUUCUGACCACCCUGGUUUACCAUCUGAUUGAUGGUUUCAGUGAGCAGCCUCUGAUUUUCCACCAUCAUUUGCAUCAGCUCAGUUGGAUUUCGUGGUGGAGGAGGAGGGGGUGGAUUGAUGUUCGCACGCUGCUCCGCACCUCGAGUGCCACGAGACAUCUGUAAGGACACAGUCAGUGAGUAUUGAUGAUGACAAGAUUUGCCGUAGAAGAACUUAUAUUCAUGCCUGAAAGUAUUCGGGAGAAUAAAUUUACAGAAAAAGGCACAAUAAUUCAAUUCCACAAAACAACAUCACCAAUCCAACACAUGACAUAGAUAUCCGCAAUAUGCACAACAAUGGAAAACAUCAUCAUAUCCGGUCGAACAUGAUAAGGUUAAACAACAUUGGGUCCAUAAAGUUAUUACACCAUCAGAGUACAGGCCAUAAGUCAAAGAUCAAGGUUCUGGAUUACAUGAAGAUUACAAAUGCAUAACUGCUGACAGUCAUACUACAAAAGAUCCUCACAGGAUAACUACUAACUACCCACUACACUCCAGGCUCGUCGUCCGAGUCAGCGUCAAAGAUCGCCUCUCCAUCCUCGUCGCUAACCGGCUCAAGCUCCUCGUCCUCUACGUCCUCGUGCAAAGGUGGUGUAGCCACGGCCGGUCCAUCUACCUCCAUACCAUCAUCAUCGGCCACGAUCACCUGAGGUCCCACCUCUGGAUACACUGGUGCAGGGCACGGAAUAGGGUGUAGCAAGUUGUUGAGACGGUGAAUCUCCACAAGACCAGCCUCAAUCUGAUCCUGCAGAUAGUUAUCCCGCUCAAGCGACUGGAUCCGGUGCAUCUCCCAAGCCCGACGCUUGUUCUCCGUCAUGUGAAGCGCAGUAUCCCUCUCACGAGUGAUCUGCACCAAGCGCUCCUGCACUGUCUCCCUCUCCCUAGCCAACUGACUCAUCUGAUCCUGCUUAUGAUCUCUCUCUCAUUGCCUUCACCCAUUGCUGCCUCCGGUACUCCGCAAUGUCUUCCUAGUCAUUGCAGUCCUUCUGGGCUUGCUCUAGGAGUCUAGCUUGCAUGCGAAAGUUGCGAGCAUGCUUUUCAGCCUUCUGUUGCAUCCCCUGGGCUUGGUGAACAGCCACCAUCACCUGGGCAUAGGUGUCCUCUCGCUGACUGAACAGCUUGAGUACAGCCAUCAUAGCACUCAUAGCAGGACUGGAACUCUCAGCUCGCUCUCCUCGGCCUCGGACCAACGCACACCCAUCAGCCGGCUUCCACUCCGCUGCUGCUGGGUCAGCCUGUGGAAUGGAGGCUGCUGGCCCUCCUGUCAGCUGAUCGCCAAACCUCUGACAUAUGUGGAGCAGCAUAGCAUGGGCUGCAACCUGAGCUGCUUCCCAUGGGGUCUGCCCAUCUGAGUUGCAGGUCGACCCAGUCCAUGCAGGCCUGCCCCCAUGUGGUGGGACAACCCCCUGCACAACGAACCACUGCAAACCUCCUGUCAUGUCCACCUCCCACCAGGAAUACUAAGGUGGCUCAUUAUACCCUACAGACUGUAGCACCCUCCAGAGCAGUGUAGGAGUGCCAAACUCGCUCAAAAAGGUGUCACUGGGGCGAGGUGAAAUGGGCACAUCCAUCUGUGGAAAGGAAUAGGAAUAACCAUGGGUAAGAGAGGAUUAAUUUAAGCAACAUUUAUUUAAUUAAAAGGAACGAUAUUGUAAGGAAAGGAGUAGGCAGAAUGUAUGUAUGAAUGCGAUAUGAUGCAUGCACGAACCGUACGUCCUCACAAACUUAGAAAAUUAAUAUUCUAACGGAUAUACGGUGGCAUACAUUCGUCUCUCGAUACGAUAACUAUCGAUUUACACAUGCGCUGUUAGAGUACCUACAGAAAACUUCAUCGCAGCCCAACAAUUCCCAAUAUUUCACUCAAGAAAGCAGUAAACUAAGUGCACAUUGCUUAUACAUGCCCAACAUGCAUAAACAAUGACACCAUAGCUACCCAAGAAAAAUAAAUGCUCCCCAAUUAAGUUUCUAUCGUGGUUCCAUGGUUUGACAUGUAACCACUCCAGAAAACCACCGCGAACACUCCCCUAGACCGCUGUUUGGACGAUCAUGCUCUCACAGCUCACACUUACCAGAGCGUAGGUACGACGUUGCAUAAUUUAAAUCUAGCGACAUAUGCGGCUAAUUCACAUAUGAAGGCUACCUCUACCAUUAGACCACAGGGUGGCAUAGUGCGGUCAUCACACAUCCAAACCUGAGUACUGCCGGAGAUGCAUAAACAAAACCCCCCAAGUCAGUACUUAUAUAGCCACCUAGAGUCCUUAUAUGGGCAAGGAGGAUUCGACCACUAGCAUAAUAAAGUAUUGGUUUUCGCAAUUUAUUUAAAAACUCUUUUGUUUUUAAAUACACAAACGCUACAUUUAUAAUGCUGAACUUGCUCCGAUGCCAGCUGUCACAGAACCGACCAAAUUAUAAGAGUUCAAGUGCAGAAACGAUCAACUAGCAAUCAUGUUUCUAUACUUGAGCCCAUAUAAUCCAGGCAGUCAACCAAAAUCACGAAUAACUUCAAACCAACUUGCAACUAACCAAGAUCGUAAUAGUUCAACAUAACACAGCGAAUGUUACAUAGUCAUUCAUUGCCGUCGAUGCGGCACCACAUCGGAGUUAAUUACUUAUUACAACCCAAGUUUGCAGUAGCGGAAGCAAAAUAUUUUACAACACACAUUCUAAAGUUCUUGUUAUUGCCAGAGUCUCAUGCCAUCCAUCCAAAAGCAACAGGUACGAAGUUGUUAGAGAACCGUGCCCAACGGUUUAGUCCUCAUCCCCAGUGGGAUGGAGACAGGUCUUGCAGAAGCCAUCAUAAAAGAUAUCAUCUGCAACAGGUGGGAAUAAACCCUGAGUAUAAAGAUGUACUCAGCUAGACUUACCCGUCUAGUAAACUAUAAAAGACACCAAGGAUCAUGCAAGGCUAUUAUAAAGUGUAGCUGGCUUGACUUAACAUUUGCCAAAAGCUCAAGUGAUUACUAUCCCAUUUGUAAAGGCAUCAUAUUAAUCUUUAUUAACCUAGCACUAGAUUAGCACCUGUACUAAAGCACUUCACUUUGAUUAAUACAAACAAUAAUAACCAUAUCAAGUUCAUCACAACUCCUAUACAUAAUGCAUCAAUAGAUAUAACAUAUUUAAGUAAACUUUCAAAAUUAAAGUGGGAGACUUAAGAUGCUCCGGGGCUUACCUUUCACGAACGAGGCUGGCUCGUGAUUAGGGCACUCAAUCUCCUCUUCGGGCUCCUCGUGUCCGGCUGGCUGGACCUCCGCCUCCGGAUUGAUCUCCUGGCCUUCGGGAUUCACCAGGUUGGGCUCGAACGAGGUCGUCGCUUCCGAUGCACCUAUUGCAUGCACGAUGAAUAAGAAUGUGUGCAUCCUAGAUGAGGAUGAACGCUUGAUAACAUAAUUAGAACUUCACUGGACACUCAUUUACAGAGUAACUCUCAUUACUAGUUCACACAAGAUGAUUAACUACUGAGCAAGAUUACCAAGUUAAACUACAAACAGCAAGCAUCCCAUAACAGAACAGCUCAGUAAACAGAUCUUAACUAUUGCUAUAUAAAUCCAACAAACAUGAAUGAGGACAUUCUGGAAAGAUUAUGAAAUUGUCUAUAUUUCAUCGUUAGAGAUCACAGCAGGAUUCCCAAGUUAAACAGGUCAACUAAACAAAGUUCCAGGUUCUGUCCCAGAAAAACAGAGAACACCUAUUACUGGAACCCAACUUGGAAGAGCCAUAACUUUUAGACUAUUGGACCAAAUGAUCCCAAAUUUAAACCACAGCUAGUUCAUAAAGUUUACAACAACUUUGAUUUAGACAAGUCUUCCAGAAAACUAAGUUGUCAUUAAGCAAUGGUUAGAUUACUCCCUUGCUGUCCAGAACAGCUUUUAACCCUCUAAUUAAUUAUUUGAUGACAUAGCCAAAACAUAUUUAGUGCCAACCAAAUGGCUUACAAGCACAAGUAUACCCUAAGGUUGCCAGAGCAUCACAUGCUAACCACUAAACACCCAAUAACAUGGCAUUUAUUAAUUUAAUUCCAUAAACGGACAUAAUUACAAGCUACCAGCAAAAUUACUCAGAAAAAUCUACAAAAAUUACAGAAACACAAGCAUGGCAUCUACACAUUACCAUAAAAAUUUCAGACCAAUUGCGCAUGCCAAACUUAAGAUAAGUAUUUAACAUGUAUCAAGGUGCUUAUUUCAUAAAUUAAGAAACAUGGGUAGUGUCAAACAACAGAUUUCAGAUUAUUUACAUGUUACUAUUACCAUAAAAAAGCUUGACACCAAAAUAGAAUACCAGCAUAAGCAUAAAUCAUUUAUUAUGAUUUAAUUAAGAAAACAAGCCAUAUAACCAACAUAAAUUACAUAUCACAGAUACAUUACUCCAAAAAUCAUGAAAUAUUUAACAUAGCAUUCUAAUACCACUCAGAGCAUAGCAUAAAAAUUUCAUAGCAAAAGAAGCAGUAUAUCAACAGAUAUGAAUUUACACAUAAAUAACAAGAUUAAAUCAUAACAAUUAUUUUUCCCAAAAAACAUGGUACAUUUUAUAUUUUUAUUAAAAACUAGCCAUCUCAAGGAAGAUCACAAAAUUUAUCUCACAAAUUUUGGAUCACAGGAACUAGACAUAUGAUUUUUGCAAAAACAGCACAAACCCUAAAUCAAACCAAGGAGAAAGAGAGACUGACAGGGGGACCCCGUGUCAGUGACCCGAGAGCAGAGGCGCGACUUGACCGCCGGAGAUCUCGUCGAUGGCGAGGUCUCGGCGACGGUCAAGAGCACCAUCGUGCUCCUCACUCCAUUCCGCACCGAUUGGUACAAGAAACCCUAACUCUACCGCACCCUAGGUACCUCGCCCUCGCGAAUGGCGGCACCACGGUGGUGUGCGGCCGACCGCCGGCAUCUCUGGUCGGAGACCGGGUGAAAGAGGACUCGAACAAGCAUCAGCACGACUCAGCGGAGCUUUUGGGACAAGAACGAGGAGAAAUGGUGGACUACAGAGCCCUGGCCAUGACACCGGUGACCACGGUGGAGCUGCGGCGAGGUAAGCUCGCGACAGAGAAGAUAAUGUGGGCUCACUGAGGCUUGGUAGCCAUAGCCAACUCGACAAAGGGGAAGCGGGGAAGCUGGCGGAGCUCUGGGCGGAGUCGCUCAGCCGGAGGUGCUGAGACGUGAGCGCGCGAGCUCGUCGAAGCAGCGGCGGCGACGCGGAGAAGACGACGAGCGCGAGAGAGGGCGGACCGGAGUGGAAAUGGUGCUGUCCAUGCGACCGGGGGCGUCGUGGCGAGCUGUAGGACACGCUGAGGACUGGCGAGCAGGACCAACGGCGAUGUACGGACACCACGAGUCCAGACACGCGGCGUCACCGUCGAGCUCCCCUCUGCUGACGCCGUCUCGAUUUAGUUUCAGAGCCGACUGAAACUCGAUUUUGGACUUCGAUGAUCUCCUAAACCAUUCGAUGAUUUUGCUGGCUAAUUGCUCCAUGUUGUAGAGUUACAUGAGAACUCCAGCAUUGCUUACAAGAUGAAAAUUUGAUUCGGCCUAGAUUUCAAACUGGGAGCUAAACAAAACACCCUCGAGCAAACUGUUGCAAUCCCAGACUUAGAAAAUUUUCUAAGUGUUGGAAACAGCCCAAAAUCUGCCUUGUGGGACAUUUUUGAGCUAGAUGUUGUCAUUUUCAUGAGAUGGACAUAAAACAACUUUUGUUCCUUAUAAAAUUUGCUAUAGCUUUGCUGUAGAAAGUUUGGACAUGCAAACAAUUUAUGAAACACUUUUUAAAAGCUUAAGCAAAAGAGGUUUCUAGGGCCUAUACAUGGAAGUAUGACUUAAGUACUUAAUUUGGAGAAGUGAUCAACAUGAACAUUGUUCCAAAGGUUGAGUUAAGCAUAGAGAAACUAUUUACUAAGGCAUAGCACACAAGCAUGAGCAUGGUAUAAGUAAACACAAGCAUAGGAAGUAUAUUUAAGCAAGUUAAAUCACAUUUUUGCAUAAAAUGACAUGACUCAAGGUAGAUGAUGAUCAUGAUAUGCUUGAGUAGAUGAUGAUGCUCAUGUUAUGCAUGUGAUUGAUGCAACCAUAACACUGGGGUGUUACAAUGCCGAUGGAGAUCGGGAUGAUGGGGCGUCCUGGAUCGCCUCUCUUGACUAGUAGAAGGUCAUUAUGUACUUCCACAACAGGGUUACUCCAGUAGUUACCUGCAUCAAACAUGUCUACAAGAUUUGCAGAUUCUAAUCCUUCUGGUUGUGAUGGUAUACCGGGGUUAGUAGCAGGAACAGCAUCAGCUAUUUUAUUCAACUGAGAUUCAAUCAUUUUAUUAAAGCUAAAUUGGUUCUUGAUGGCAGUAGAAAAUUAUCCAUUCUAUUAUUUAUAUUUUCUAGCAUUUUAUCAUUUGAUGCCAAUUUCUUAGUUAGGUUAUCCAUUAGCUUUCCUUGAUUAGACACUAACUCUCUCAAAGGUGGAUAAUUAUUAUUAUUAUUAUAAGAAUUGUUACCUUGAUAAUUACCUGAGUAGUUACCUCAGUAGUUAGGUCUCUGUCGAUUUCAACCUUGAUUUUGUUGAGGAUGGUUGUAGUAGUAGUUGUUGUUGUUGUUGAUGUAGUUCACGUCCUCACGCAUGUUGACGGUCCUUAAGUAUCAAAUUUAAUUAUAAAUUAAACAAAGAAAAGGAUCCAAAUAAAAUCAACAGCUAGACUUAGGGUUUUAUCUAACAGAAUUCCACGGGUUUUGGUGCUUGUCUAUUUCUAUAGGGGGUUAUUAGGAAAUACGGAAGAAAGGCCCACACAUCGGGACAACAUAGAGAUAUUAACGUGCCGCGCAGUUAUCUUACAUCUAGAAGACUCCAGAAGCCACGGGAAGGAAGUGGAGGCCGAACGGGGCCAGGCACUGGGCGCCCACCCAGUUGACCUGGGCGCCCACUCCCUCCUAGACUCCAAUCAGGACUCUCUUUCGGGAAAGAUCUCCACCGACCUAAAGGAUCAAGGAUAACCGUUCAAUCAAUGUCGGUUUGAUCCAACGGCCCAUAUUCACUUGAAGGGACUAUAAAACCAUACCCCCUGCCCCUGUAGGAGAGAGCCUUUCAACCCUAAUUCAUUAUUCCUCAAGGGAGAAGAAGCCUCUGAUCAAGCCUAGAGCCACCACAUCAAUUAGACAUCUAUAUUAGCAUAGCUACAUAGGAUUAGAACUAGAAGGAGUCAAUCUUCGAUUGGUUUCCGGAUCUGUCAAUAGGAUUCUUGGUAAUUCUCUAAUUGUUCUUCUAAUUGUUCAUCUUUGUUCUUCAAUAUUAUGAAUAUGACUUUGUUCUACUUCAAUAUAUUGCUUAUGACUUUGCUCUACUUGUUUAUAUUCAAGAUUAUAUUGUUCUUAGUUUAUCAUAGUUAUGUACUUGGCUUAGUUAGAUUGGAUUUAUAUACAUGUUUAGGAUCAUAUAGCGUUUAUCCAUCGGAUCUAUGGGUAAAUGAUAGAUAUUAUGUAGGCGUGGUGCUUAUACCAUAUUUAUCUACGAUUGUACCCAAUAUGCCAGAUCGUGGGGUAGUUCGUGAUAGUGUCAGCUUCAUUGAGUCUUAUAUAGUCCCCCUUUCGUGUAUUGGGCUGGCAGAGCAACAUUAUUAGAUGGGAGUGAUUGCUAUGUUUCUCAUAUUCCUUGCUAAUAUCACUAUGCAUGGGCGUAGUCUUGUCUCACAGUGAUUGCUAAGUAUGCUUGCACUAACUAUGAUAACGCUAGACUAUAUAGUUGAGAAUAACUUAGGAAAUAUUCUUGUAGUUCGUUCUAAUGCCAUGCUAAUGACUUGCUAGAAUAUCUAAUUGAGGUGCUUAUCAUAUUUAUUCUGUGGCUAAGUUAUGCUGAUCAGAUUAAUUAUCUUUGUCACUAUUCAUUACUUCAUAUAUCUUUUAUGUGACACUUACCCUUGUAUGGAAGAGUUAGAUAACUGUUCUCAAUUAUACAUGCAAUGAUAGAUACUCAAUCUCAUAUUCCAUUCUAUAAUCAAUAUUGAUGAUUGCUAAUCCCUUCCCAGUGGUAAAAAUAUAAAUAACGAUACCUGGAAUACUUCCCGGUUAAAAUGCUACAUCGGUAUUAAUCUGUGCGCUUGCAGAUCCCAUUCAUUAUUUAUUUAGAAAAGCAAUUGCAUAUUUCAAUACCGCAUCUCUCAUGUCAUGCUGGGGAUGACAACUUGGCUUAAGGUUUGGCAUUUUUGGCACCGUUAUCAGAAUUAGAAAACUAAGUCUACUUUUGGUAGUGAUGUUAAGAAUACCCAACAAGCAUUUUUGGCGCCGUUGCCGGGGAAGGUUGAUUACUAAUCAGGAAUGAAUAUAGAAUUUUGAGUCAUUAUUCGCAUCACUAAUAUGAUUGAGCUUAUCAAUUCUCUCAAACAGUUUUACCCCGAUAUUUUUCUAUUUUAUCUUAUGCAGGGUAAUGUAUUUAUAGAAGACAUCUUCUAGGAAAUUUUGUUGACAAUCCCGAAGCGUUAUUCAGAAAAACAAGAGCCAAGCUCAAGAAGAGAUCAUCAACACUACAGCAAGAAGCUUCAUCCAAUCAAGAAGAUCACCGGAACUUGUCUUCAGAGUUCGAAGCCAUGGCAAACAAAUCAAUCCGUGAGUUCUCAGCUCCCACUACGCACAACAUCCGCACUGGACCUACUGCAGAGAUCAAUGGCAACUUUGAGCUCAAGCCUGGACUUAUCAACAUGGUGCAAUCCAACCAGUUCCAUGGGAAGGCACAUGAAGAUGCUAGUGCUCAUCUCCAACACUUUCUGGAGAUAUGCAACACAUUCACCAUAUCAGGAGUCCCCAGAGAUGCUAUACUACUUCACCUCUUCCCUUUCUCACUAUUAGGAAGAGCGAAGCAGUGGUUCUACACUACAAAGGAGAAGAAUACUACGUGGGCACUCUACUCAACAAACUUCCUGGCUAAAUUCUUUCCAAUGGGCAAGACCAAUGCUCUCCGUAGGAAGAUUACAAGUUUUUAGCAACAACAUGACGAAUCUGUUCCAGAAGCAUGGGAGCGCUUCCAAGACUACAUCCUAGAAUGUCCCCAUCAUGGAAUGGAGAGUUGGCUACUGAUGCAGACGUUUUAUCAUGGGCUCGGAAACAGUGCCCGUGAAACCAUGGAUGCUGCAGCUGAAGGAGCUUUCCUAUCACUUACCAUAUCACAAGCCACAGCUCUUGUGGAGAAGAUGGCGUCCAACCAAGUCUGGAAUGAAGAAAGGACCCAGACAUGCAAGAGAGGUGGAGGUAUGCAUCAGCUCAAGGAGGUAGUCAUGCUGUCUGCUAAGCUAGACCUGCUCAUGAAGAAGCUCGAAGAUAGAGUUGGAGAUAAGAAAGAAGUUAUGCACAUCUACGACUCUCACAUGACUUGUGAGGAGUGUGGAGAUACUGGACACUCAGGCAAUCACUACCCUGAGAUGCUUGAGGAUGUGAACUACAUCAACAACAACUACUACUACUACUACAACCGUCCUCAACAAAAUCAAGGUUGGAAUCAACAGAGGCCUAACUACUCAGGUAAUUAUCAAGGUAACAAUUCUUACAAUAAUAAUAAUAAUUUUCCACCUCUGAGAGAGUUAGUGUCUAAUCAAGGAAAGCUAAUGGAUAACCUAUCUAAGAAAUUGGCAUCAAAUGAUAAAAUGUUAGAAAAUAUAAAUAAUAGAAUGGAUAAUUGCUCUACUACCAUCAAGAAUCAAAUUAGCUUUAAUAAGAUGAUUGAAUCUCAGUUAAAUCAAAUAGUUGCUGCUGUUCCUGCUACUAACCCCGGUAUACCAUCACAACCGGAAGGAUUAGAAUAUGCAAAUCUUGUAGACAUGUUUGAUGCAGGUAAUUGGAGUAACCCCGUCACUGAAGUAACUACUGACCUUUUGUCGGUCAAGAGAGGCGAUGCAGUCAAGAGAGGCGAUGCAGGACGCCUUGUCAUCCCGAUCUCCAUCGGCAUGGUGGACGUCCUAGAAGCACUCUAUGACUUUUGCUCCAGCGUCAACAUUAUACCCAGGGUACUCUAUGAAAAAUUCUUUACAUAUCCUUUAUUAGAAACAACCAUGUAUUUGCAGUUUGCAGAUCAGGCAUUAAGUUUUCCAAAAGGAAUAUUGAAGAACCGUUGUGUCCAAGUUGGUACCUUGUAUGACCUAGCAGACUUCGUGGUGAUAGAGACCGGUAAUGAUGAGAGCACCCAUCAUCUUAGGGAGGCCAUUCUUAAACACCUCGGGAGCUGUCAUCUACGCUAGUGCUGCCAAGAUCAGUUUCUACAUCAAAGGGAGGAAGGAGACAUUUUCCUUCAAGAACAAGACUACACAAAUUCCAGAUCAAUCCAGACGUAAAUCAAGGAAGAGGACCAACAGGAGGAACAGGAACAAGCAAGUGUGGACCGAUUCAGCUAAGAUGGUCACUGCAGUUCAUAGAGGCCAAGAUCAACAACUUAAGUCACCAUUUUUGACCAAGAAGGAGGACCCAGGAAUGCCAAGCAUCUAUUGCUCCAUAAAUGGUUACAACUUCUACAAGACGACUUGCGACACCGGAUCAGGCGUCAACAUAAUGGCCGCAGUCACCUAUCGGCUCUUGUUUGGAACCAUGCCCCUAAGACCAACAUACAUUCAGCUUCAGAUGGCAGAUGAGACAUUUCGAGAAGUUAAAGGAACAGUAACUGAUGUCCCUGUCAAAAUAGACAAUCAUUUUGUCUACACAGACUUUCAGGUUAUUGACAUGGGAGGAGACGAGUACGAUCCACCCAUCAUCCUUGGAAGACCGUUCCUCAGCACCGUUAAAGCAAUCAUCUACAUUGGAACUGUAGAAGUCCAUAUGCACUUCCCCUCAGAGAAGGUACGCCGCUAUUUUACUGAACCUUACUAUAUCGUUGAAGAAUCUAAGCAGGUCAGAAAACGACGCAACCGCAACCAGAGGAGGGAAAUCAUCAAGGACGGAUGGGCAGACUAUGAAGGAGAAGUAGUAAGGUCAGAAGACGUAUAGUUUAAACAGAAUUAUCCAGAGAAGACCGUAGCACCGAGUCAGGUGUGGAAAGAAAAGAUAACUAUACAUGAAGAAGAGGCGCCACUGGAAGUACCGACUACGCCACCCAACGAAUCCCAGGACAAUUGAGAAAGAGGAGAGUCCCGUUCGGAGGACUUAAAAACACCGAACGCCUUGCCAAGAUGUAAACUUGGUAGUUAUCAUUUCCCUUUCAAUUAUUUCAAAUAGUCUACUUAGUUAAUUAAGUUCAUACUAUCCUAAAAAGAAAAUAAAAAUGUUAAAAAAUGGUAAGCCCCAUGUGAGUAUACGAGUGGCAUAAAACCCAUAAGUACAUUCACUGUGGUGGCAUAAAAAUAAAAUAAAUAUUUUUCUGCUCUAUAAAAAUGAAAAUGAAAAAUAGGGAGUAAUAUUUAUUGAGGAGACUCAACAUGAUAAAGGCUAGAUAUUUAUGCUAACACUUAAUUAGUUCCACAAAGCUUUGUUGUCUAUUUGAGCUCUACAGAAUUCAAGAAUCGAGAAGACUAGCAGACGGAGGACAUUCUAAUCGCUGUCAAAAUGCUGCUAACUUUCAAAUAAACCUCUGCCACCUGCUAGCUACAUCAAGAGAAAUUACGUCAAAAUUCAGCUUGGGGGAGAGCACCCCCAUUUAUCUCGCUAAGUAUUUCUAUCUAUCUUUAUACUUAUAUUAUAUUAAAAUAUAAAUAGACAUAACUAUGAAAAACCAAAUAAAGAUUUUGUGCUUAUAUAUAUAUAUCUUUUACUUAGUAUGCUUAAUAAAUAAAUAAAGUGGCUAUGCUAAUCUGAAUCUUAAUAAUAAACUCUAGCAUGGAUAUGAUAAAUAGUUGCUCUGCCAAAUUUUUAAAUUUGAAUUCUCUCUCAAGUUUAGACAUAACUGUUAUAAUUUGAAGCUUGCUCAAGACCUAAACUUGUGGGAACAAAACUUGAUCUGAAGUCUAAGUUGUUAACGGAUAUGAUAUGAGAAGGUUGGGCUGCUAUUUAUCUAUUCCUAGAGAUGCUAGAAUUCUAGAGAAUUUUAUCUUUGAAAAAUCUUUAAAAUAUUGCAUGAUGAGUUCCUGUAUGAUGAGAGUUUAAAUUCCUACCACAGCCAUAUAUACCUGUUUGCUAGAUUUUGAGCCACACAUUUACUUUUUACUGCUUAUGAGCAUUGAGUGUGGUCAAGCUGUGUAGACCCUUAGGAGCUUGUCAUGUGGUUAAAAUCAAGAUUCACUUGCACGUUCACUCACAUAUGCUACUUCUACUUGUUGGAUAUUUUAAACGCAAACAGAAAAAUCCGCAACCGCACGGAUACCGAUGUAGCCUUCACCCGGGAGUAUUCCAGAGUAUCGAUUUUCCACAGGGAACGUGAGUGUACUAAUUAAGAUUCAAGAUCGCCCAAGGAUAACUAUAUAAGUAUUUUUGGUGGGAAGAGAGGAAGUUUCCUGAGAGUUCUCUAGUUGAUCUAAGAAUCAAGAAUUACUUCAAGAUUAUCUAUAUCGGGACAUCAGAGCACUAACCACAGAAAGAGAUGAGAAGGGGGCUAGGAAGGUCUGACUACGGUCCUACAAACACCGAUCCGAACGUGGUGCAAUACGUCGACCGUUAGGGCUGUCACUACCCUAAGGCUACCACAACAAUCCGCAGGAUUGGGUGCAAUUCCAGGUAAUCGCAAGACUAAACACCACGUCUAAUCUAUUAAUUACUACUCUAAUGUUUCAAAGACUAGAGCACUUGAUGCAAGUGGGAAUCCAAUAAAUAACUUGAAUGUAAAUAAAAGUAAUUAGAGAACUCAGGAGUUAUGAAUUGAAGAACCUGGAGAACGAUGAAGAACGAACCAGAUGCUGCAAAAGUACAAUGUUGAGGAAGAUCCGACAGAUCCGGCUCCUCCUCCGCUCUCCUCUUCUCUCUCCCUAUUUUCUAGAUUACAUGUAGAACUAACUAGAACUAGAACUAGAGGAACUAGAACUAGAACUAGAUGAACUAGAACUAGAUCUAGAUGAACUAGAGGUAGAACUAGAAGAACUAGAGGGAUCCUCUCUACUUGGAUGAAGAAUUGAAACCCUAGCUUUGAUUCUGUAGAAGAGGUAUGAUCUCCAGGGGCCAGGGGGGGUCUAGUUUUAUAGUCCCUUCAAGUGAAUCUGGGCCGUUGGAUCAAACCGACAUUGAUCGUGUGGUUUUCCUUGAUCCUUUAGGUCGGUGGAGCAAUAUCCCGAAAGAGAGUCCUGAUUGGACUCUGGCUGAGGGCGGGCGCCUAGGAAAGGUGGGCGAGCGCCCUGUCCCUGAGUCCUCUCGGCCUCCGCUUCCUUCCCGUGGCUUCUGGAGUCUUCUAGAUGGUAGAAAAUUGCGCAGCACGUUUAUAUCUCUAUGUAAACCCGACGUGUGGGCCUUUCUUUCAUAUUUCCUGAGAACCCCCUGCAGAAAUAGACAAACACCAAAAUUUGUGGAAUUCUGUCAGAUAAAACCCUAAGACUAGGUGUUGGUUGCAUUUGGAUCCUUUUCUAUGAUUAGUUGAUGGUUAAUUGUGAGCAUUAAGGACCGUCAACAAGCUCCCCCAAGCUUAACCUUUGCUCGUCCCUGAGCAAAGAUGAACUCAAGAGUUUCUGCAGUGGUUUCAUAACUUAAAGAUACACAUGCGUUUAAACAAGAUCUCAUCUCUGGUUAGAGUAAACUGUUAAGACUUAAAACUUACUCAUUUACCUUUCACCAUGGGACUUGCAACCGUCACUUGUGUCUUGAGUAGUUAAAAGAUAGAACAGUCUAGUCAAGCACCAUGUCUCUUGUUCUUCGAUUAACUAUAGCUCUGGAGUUUUUGCAGAUUUUCAAAUAAAACUCAGAGAUUCCUUGUAUGACUCUCUCUAGUCUCUCUUUUGUGGUAUUUCUGAAACCUUACCAAGGCAGUAAUGGUAUAUGCCUCCUCUCAAAGUAUGUGGUAUUUUUGGUAUGAGGCAUAGUGGUAUUGCCUUCUCUCUCACCCUACUCUAAUAAGGUUUUGAUAUCUGGAGCUCAUAGGUGGGAGACAGCUAAUACAUACUUACAAGACAUUUAUUGCAUAGUCAAACCAUGGAUCCAGAAGAACAAGUCAAUAAGUCAAAUCAAGAUGUGCAUGUGUGGCGAAUGAAUGGUGAUAAUGGUGAAAGUAAUGGUGAUAACAAUGGUGAAAGUCUAAUUCUACUUGUGCUCUUUUGAGGGGAUACAUACCUUUCUUGCUCUUUUCAAACUUUUUGAGGAGAAUGAGAUACUCUAUAUUUUUUUCUCUCAGGUGGGUAUCUUGUACCCCUAAUUCUACUGUCGGACACUUGUCCAUUUUUACCUCUCGUCUCACUUUUUCUUUUCUUUCGAGGUUCCGGGCACUUGCCCCUUUUUAUUUCCUCGUAUCUUUUUUUUCUUUUCUUUUCUUUUUUUUUCUUUUUUUAGAGCACUCAUCUCAUGAGAUAAUAUAGCAAGUGGUAGUAACAAGAUAACUUGAGCAUUUAUUUCACAAGGGAAAACAUAAAUGGUUUUGGCUAUUCUCUCCCUGAUUAGGAGUAGAAUAUUUUUGGGUGGUUCUGGAGAUGGAAAUGGAUGGAUAUAUGUGGAUGCGUACUUCUGGAGUAGAAGCAGCAUGUAUGAGUGAACGUGCAAGUGAAUCUUGAUUUUAACCACAUGACAAGCUCCUAAGGGUCUACACAGCUUGACCACACUCAAUGCUCAUAAGUAGUAAAAACUAAAUGUGUGGCUCAAAGUCUAGCAAGCAUGUAUAUAUGGCUCUGGUAGGAAUUUAAACUCUCAUCAUACAGGAACUCAUCAUGCAACAUUUUAAAGAUUUUCAAAGCUAAAUUCCCCAGAAUUCUAGUAUCUCUAGGAACAGAUAAACAGCAGCUCAACCUUCCCAUAUCAUAUCCGUUAACGACUUAGACUUUAGAUCAAGUACUCUUCCCACAAGUUCAGGUUUAGAGCAAAUCUUAAUUAAUAACAUUCAUGCCUAAACUUGAGAGAGAUUUCAAUUUUGAGAACUAGUCAUGGCAGAGCAACUAUUCAUCUUUCCAUGUGAGAGCUUAUCAUGAGGGUUCAUAGCAAAUUUUAUUUAUUUAUUUAUUUAGCAAACUAAGCAAAGAUAUAUAUAUAAGCACAAAAUCUUUAUUUGGGUUUUUAUGAUUGUGCAUCUUUUUUAUUAUUUAAGUAAAGUAUAAACAUGAGUAGAGCACUUAGCUGGAUAAAUGGGGUUGCUCUCCCCCAAGCUGGGUUUCGACGUAAUUCCUUCUGAUGUAGCUAGCAGGUGGCGGAGGUGUAUUUGAAUGUGGCAGCACCCUGACAGCGAUUAGGAUGUCCUCCGUCUGCUAGUCUUCUUUGAUCCCUGAACUCUGUGGAGCUCAAAUAGACAACAAAGCUUUGUGGAACUAGUUAAGUGUUAGCAUAAAUAUCUAGCCUUUAUCAUGUUGAGCCUCCUCAAUAAAUAUUACACUCAUUAGUAGGAUCAUAAAUUUAUUUUUAUAAUUUUAUUUUUAUAGGACAAGAAUAUAUUUAUUUCAUUUUUACGCCACCACAGUGAAUGUACGUAUGGGUUUUAUGCCAUGAGCAUACUCACAUGGGGCUUACUAUUUUUAACAUUUUUAUUUUCUUUUCAAGAUGAUAUGAACCUGAUUAACUAAGCAAACUAUUUUAAAUAAUUGAAAGGAAAAAGAUAACUACCAAGUUUACCUCUUGGCAAGGCGUUCGGUGUCUUUAAGUCCUCCGAACAGGAUUCUCCGUUUUCUCAAUCAUCCUGGAAUUCGCUCGAUGGCGUAGUCAGUGGUUCCGGCGGCGCGUACUCUUCAUGUAUAACUAUCUUCUUUCUCCACACCUGCCUUGGUGCACUUCUCCUUCAUACUCUGCUCAUCCGUCCUUUAUGAUUUUCCUCCUCUGGUUACGGUUGCGUCGUCUUCUUCUUGUCCUGACCUGCUUAGAGUCUUCAACUAUAUAGUUAGGGUCAGUAAAAUAGCGGCGUACCUUCUCAGAGGGGAAGUGCAUGUGGACUUCUCCGGUUCCAAUGUAGAUGAUUAUUUUAACGGUGCUGAGGAACUGUAUUCUGAGUGGAUCGAAUUCGUCUUCUCCCAUGACAAUAACCUUUCGGAAUGUCUGAUCUGCCAUCUGAAGGUUGACGUCAUAUCCGGUGUCGUAGAGUGUCUUCUGAAAAGAAUAUCGGUUGAUUGUGCACUCGAUGCUUGGAACACCAGGGUCAUCCUUCUUGGUCAGGAACGGUGACUUGAGUUGACGAUCUUGACCUCGUUGAGCUGCAGUGACCAUCUUAGCUGACUUGGUCCACAUUUGCUUGUUCCUGUUCCUCCUGUUGGUCCUCUUCCUUGUUUCAUGUCAGGAUUGCUCUGAGAUUUGUGUAGUCUUGUUCUUGAAGGAAAACGUCUCCUUCCUCCCCUUGAUGUAGAAACUGAUCUUGGCAGCACUAACAUAGAUG
RNAcentral lists this long non-coding RNA (45416 nucleotides) under Sorghum bicolor (sorghum). Its description in RNAcentral is "long non-coding RNA (SBIC_LNC006666)". Lineage: Eukaryota; Viridiplantae; Streptophyta; Magnoliopsida; Poales; Poaceae. The record is from RNAcentral.